Molecule: long non-coding RNA, 45006 nt
Filed under: Panax ginseng (ginseng)
Lineage: Eukaryota; Viridiplantae; Streptophyta; Magnoliopsida; Apiales; Araliaceae
Description: long non-coding RNA (PGIN_LNC014580)
Source: RNAcentral
CUUAAAGUUCUACUAUACAAAGAAUUCAUGUACAUUUCCCCGUAAUUUAUUUCUCAAUCAUACACACAGAGGGUAGAGCGGGCGAGCGAGCUAGCUGUGGGCAAAUGAAGAAAGAUAAGAGAAGCUUUUGCGAGAGGCACGUGAGAAGCCCGUGCAGAUCGUUUGGCCGGAGAUGCAGUUUGCUACUGAAGGAACAAAGAGCAAAGUUCUACAUUCUCCGGCGAUGCAUCACCAUCUUGCUCUGCUGGCAAGACUAAUAAAUAUUUGUUAUGAAUCAAUCCACACACACAUAUAUAUGUGUAUGUGUGUAUGAGCGAUCGUAUUUGGGUUGAUGAAAUUUAAUUUCUUUCAUAUGUUGGAUGAAAAUUUUGUUUGAAUAUUAAUUAUAAGCCUAUGAAAGUUUCUUUGUUUUUGCUAUAAUAUUGUUCAUUUAUAAUGUCAUGAAGUGGGGUAUUUUUUUUUUGUUGACUUGUUUAUUUAUAUAAUUAUUUUUUAUUUACUGAUUUCCUAGUUUUUUGGUGUUGAGUUUGAUCUAUGCUCUGAAGUUCAGAAAAAUGGGGUUUGAUUAGUUGUUAUGAAUUUAUUGCUCGAUGUUAUGAAUUAUGGUAAUCAGGUUCUGAAAUUUAGUUACUAUUAAUUUUUAGAAACAUUCUAGUAUAAUAUAUAGAUGAGUCCUUCUAGAAGGACAUUUUUUUGAUGACAUUCUAGCGAUAUUAUUUUAUUUUUUGGGGGGGUUUUUUUUUGUAGUACCUCUCAAAAAAUGUAUAUUAUUUAUUUCAACUGAAAUUUUUAUAAAAAACAGUUUUUAGGUGUAAUUUGUAAAAAACAGUUUUUAGUCUGUACAGACCCUGUUUCUUGUAUGUAUCCAAAUUACGUCUAAUUACUGUUUUUUAUAAAAAUUUCAGUUGGAAUAAAUAAUAUAAAUUUUUUGAGAGGUACUACAAAAAAAAUCAAAAAAAAAUAAAAAAUAAAAUAAUAUCGCUAGAAAAUGUUCCCCUAGAAUUAUUGUAUAUAGAUAUUUUUGUUUAUAUAUAGCUAGGGAAGUUACUCCUUCGUUCCCAACAAAAAAAGUUUAUAUUUACAAAAUUUAUAAAUAAAUAUUAAAUUCAUGUUUUUAUUUUACAUUUACCUUUGAAAAAAUUAAAGAUGGUUGAUAAUGUUAAAAGAAAUUUUUUGUUAGAACAAAUAAAUAUUUAGUGAAGAUACUUGUGCAGUUAUAUUUCAACGACAUUUUAAAUUUUUAACGUGACUUAUUAUUUUGGCAAUAUACUUAUUAAUCUAAUAAUUAUCAAAAGUAAAUAAAUUUGUAAUUUAAUAGGGGUCACAGGAUUAAAAGUAAACCUUAAUUAAUCAGAUUGUCAUGAGUUCAAGCUCACACAUAGUUAUGGAGUUAGAUAUUUUAAAGUUAUAACCUCUAAUAAUAUUUCAAAAAUUUGGUGUGGAAGAAAUUUUUAUGAGUAUUAUGAUUAAUUUUUAGAAUUUCAAAGUUUUCAUAGAUUGUUUACUUUUUCUAUUUGUUGUAUGUUUUCAAAUUUCAGUGUUUGUUAUGUGUUGGUUAAAAUGUUGGAUUCUUGGCUUGUAAUUUCAAUUAAGAAAUUACAGAAGAAAAAUUGAUAUUAUCACAAAACUUCUCUCACAUGAAUAGUAAACGAGACUUACGGAAUUCAUAUUAAAGUGAAUGAGACUAAGUGAAAAUAUUAUUUUUUCUUGUAAAAAUAUCAAUUUUUUAAAUAUAUUUUAACAUAGUUAAGAUAGAAGGAAGAAGUAAAGAUAGAAAGUUGGGCAUAAAGUCUUUGUACAUAAAUUUUAACAGUUAAGAUAAAAAGUUAUUAUUCAUUAGACUAAAAUAUGGUGACACCUCUUUUAGAUAACUAUAAUAAUACUCACCACCCUUCUAGUUUUUUAAAUAAGAAUUAGUACCUCUACAAAUUGUUAGGGUUGACUAAAUAGAUAAAAUUACACAUUUACCCGUGUAUGUUAUUAAAUUUUAAUUCCUGAAUAUAAUAUAUAUAUAUGUGUGUGUGUGUGUGUGUGUGUGUGUUUAAUUAUCCUUUUUUAAAAUAAUACAUUUUAAUUAUAGUUUUAUUUGUAAUUCAAACUCUCUCAUUCAAAUAAUUUAAUUUAAUUAACACAUAUUUUUGGAUAAGUGAUAUAAAUAUUAAGAAUUUUAAAUUAAAUUAUUAAUGGAGGUUUUCUAAUUAAAGUAAGUGAGUAUGUUGAUAGUUUAGUUUUUGGUGUUUAACAAUAAAAAUUAUUAUUUGAAUUCUUAGUUUCAUAUUAUAAUUUUUAUAUGUUAAAUUUUCUUGAGUUAUAUGUCAAAAUUUGAGAUGUUUAUGAUUGUAAUUAUGUGACAACCCCAAAAUAGGUCCAUUCCAUCCAACCUAUUCUGAGUCGUCAGUUACAUGGUACAGAAAAUAACUACAACUUUAUUACAAUAAUUGUUGUGCAAAAUACCACAACACAUAUGUUGUGAGUUUGGAUACAAAUAUAUACCAACUGUGACACGUGUCCCAACCGUGGACAGCGCCUCACAGUGAUACCUUACAUAAAGGUAUAGUCAAAAACUGUUUUAGAAACUAAAAUCUUUGGGAAGUGCUCAAGGAAACCUUCGUACAUGGGAGGCCAUGCGUCUAAGUUAUGAUAGAUAUCAUAUGGCCACAGAAUUAUCCUUGGUUGACCCAAUAGACCCCAAAGAAAAACAAGAAGAUUACUAUAAUAUUCUUCCCAAUGGUGAGUCUUCUCUUGACUUAUCAUUAUCUCCACUGUCUCAAAUUGAGAAUUAUACUUCAAACAAACACCAAGAUUAUAUAGGUAGUGCUCGUAAAUAUACUCAGCAAGUGGAUGAGCACAACCCUGUCUUAUGAUGACACGAGGUUGUAUGUCAUUAGACAUCUUGUAUGAUAGUGGCAAAACACCCUUCCAACGUUGGGUUCGCCUCUCCCUAUAUGAUUCACCAAAUAUAACUACUAAAAGAUGUAUACAACACACUUGUCUAUACUGUUUAGGGAGAACUCCACAGCUAGAGACCACCGUUCUAUUCCCUUGUUACCCCCGCUCGACCCAGCUACACUUUUAUUACCUGAAAGGAAUUGUGAAGCAAAAGGGUGAGCACAACUAGCUCAGUAAAGAAUAUCAUGACUAAAGAUAAUUAAAUUAUCAAUAGCCUUCAUCAAUAACAAAUCAGAGAUUUAGAACAUAUGGUAGAUGAUAAAAAUUUCAACCAUAGUUGCAGCGGAACGAGCAAUCCAUUAGAAGAGUCAAAUAGACAAUACAGUCUAUUAUCUUCUCCAUGUUAAAAGUCCACCAACAAUGUUUUAUCCCUGUAACAUCAAUCAACAGCUCCUUUCCACAAUUAUAUGAAUAUAUCAUAAUCAUAAUUGUAAUUCUAAAUUCCUCUUCGUACCCAGGACGAAUAUAAUUUUCAUCACAUGUCUUUACCUGAAACAUCAAAGAUCAUGGUUAUACCAAAUCACAGUUCCUGUUCAUAAUCAUACUAAUAAAUUCAUCUUUGCACUACGGCCAAAGAUAUUCAUCCACAGUUCAUCUUCGCACCACUGGCCAAAGAUAUUCAACAACAGGUUGUCUUUGCACUACGGGCCAAAGAUAUUCAUUAACAGUUCAUCUUUGCACUACAGGCCAAAGAUAUUCCUCAACAGUUCAUAUUUGCACUACAUGCCAAAUAUAUUAAUAUCUCAAAGAAAUAUAUAAUCAUUUCAGAAUUUAUAUAAACAAUAAUUAUAACCAUGUUGAUCAAUUCACCUUUGCACUUAAGCUAAAGAUAUUCAAUUAUAAAUUCAAUGGUCAUGAUCAUACCAGUCACAAUUCAACUUUUCACUACUGGGCAAAGAGAACCCUAGUUAUGAUCAUACCAAUAAUCUACCCAUCUUUAUACUCAAGUGAAAGAGAAUUUCAACAUCAGGGUUAUAAAAAUGUUAUAUAUGAUAAUAAAAUUAAUAUAUAGUUUUAAUCUCCAGAGUAAUAUUCAUAAAUCAACUAUAAUUUGGUUAGAAAAAGAAACUAAUUUUGUAGUGAAUAAUACCCGUGAAUAGUAACUCGUGAAUAGUAACUCAUGAAUAGUAACACUGACACAAAAAGAUAGAAAUUCCACAAUAAAAUCCAUACCAAUAUUUCGGUAUAAUGAUAUUGAAAGAAUAACAUUUCUUAAACUUAUAAACAAUUUAUUUUAAUUGUUUACACUUUACUAAAUAAUGCAUUUAAUCAUCAUAAAAUGCCAAACUUAUAAGAUUUCAUCACCAAUAACCAAAACCCUCAUCAAAAAUCUGCAUAUACUACAUAUAUGAUUUUCAAGCCAUAAAAUCAUAUUUUCCAAUUUUCUUCUUUCACAUUACAUAUUUAACUCAUUUAUUCAUAACUAGUCCAUUUUUAUGAAAAAUACCAAAUCAGUUCCAAAAAUAUUUCUUUUCUGGGAUUUAUCAGAAUAUAGUCCCAUAUUGAAUAUAUAUUUUUCUUAGAAUUUUUAAAAUUCAUUUACUAUUUUUCAUAUGGCCAAAACCGUCGAAUAUUUAGACAUUUAUCAUAAAUUGUACUUUUAUCCAAAAAUUCCGAAAUUCACAGAGUACACUGAUAUUAUAUAGAUGUACUCCCAAUAAAAAGUUCAUCAAUUUUGGAGUUAACCACAAGAAAUUAUAAGCGGUUACUUUUAAAAUAGUCUUUUCUCAUAAAAUUCAUAACUCUUAAUAUAUACAUCCAAAAAUUACCAUUUUUGGAUACAAUCAAUAAAACUCAUCAACAUAUCAUUUCAAAUUUUUCCAGAAUUUUCUGAAAAUCAGAAGAAGUACGAAUUGAAAAACAUAAUAACCCUUAAAAUCCCUUACUAUCCCUUACCUCAAAAGAGCAGCACUUCUGACUGGAUAUCGGAUAUGACGCUGAAGAAAAUUUGCACUGAUGAAUAUCAACUCACCAAGUAUCUAAAUACUCAUAAAAUACACUCAAUAAUCUAGAGAGAGAAAGAGAGAAAACUUAUGUUUCUGGUGUGAUUUUCAAUUCUAACUUAGCCCUCUAUUUAUAGGAAAAUUUUAGCAGACUUGACCUGCAACCUGAUGGCUUUACCUGCUACUAUUCCCACCCACCACAUUUGAAAUAAAAUUCAGCACAUUUCUUCACCAACCACAAGUGGGGCCCACUCAAUUCUAGAAUUUUNNNNNNNNNNNNNNNNNNNNNNNNNNNNNNNNNNNNNNNNNNNNNNNNNNNNNNNNNNNNNNNNNNNNNNNNNNNNNNNNNNNNNNNNNNNNNNNNNNNNNNNNNNNUCUCCUUACUGGCGCGCAAUUAGAUGACCAAACCUCUCCUUAGACAGAACUUUCUAGACAUUGCCAAUAAUGUUAUCUAAUAAUAUUAUUCAGAUAAUAUGAAUUAUUGCUCCGAUAAUAGAAAAUACUGUGCAGUGACAAUUAUUAAAACAAGAGUAAUACAAAAUAUCAACACAGUAAUUAUUGAAUUAAUAAAAUAAAAUACCAAACAGUAAUUACUGUAACAAUUAUUGAGUCGUGCCUUCUUACGUAAGCAUCAAUAAUUGGUGCAAUACCGUGUGUUACUGUGUUUUAACCACCGGGUAUUCUAAUAGUAUUAACGGUAACAACUACGCCGUUAUUUAUAAAUAACUUAUUCUUGUCGUUUUCUUCCUCCAAUCGCUUUCCGCUAUGGGGCCCACACAAGGCUGCUCCGUCGUACGAAUAUUCCCCGACAGUACGAAUAUUCCCCGACAACAAUGAAUAUUUUAUAACCACUUGUGUAUUUUGAAAAAAAAUUCAUAUAUCACCCUUAACUUUAACUUUUAUCAAUUUAAUCAUUUACUGAAUAGUAAUUAUAAGAAAAAUUGAAUACUUUUAUUUCAUAAAUUUCGGGGUCUUACAAAUUACAUAUUUUUUUAGUAUAUAGUUGGUGUUAUUUUUAUACAACAUUGAAUAAAAGAAAAUAUAAUUAUAUUUAUUACUACCUCUAUCUUAUUAGAAGAAUUUUUUUAAUAUUUUUUUUUAGAGUAAUAACAUUUGUCAUUUUUAUUGUAAAUAAUUAUGCUUAAGAGUUACUUAUGUUUAGUUUAAUAUUUGAGAAAAAUAAUUAAUAUAAUUUGUAAUAAUUUUUUAUAUGAAUAAUCUCGGUAUGUAAUAAUAAUAAGUUUAUUUUACGUAAAUUUUAUUAUCUGGGAAAAAUAAUUAUGUUUGCAUUAAUUUGUACUUUUACGCUUAUUAAAAUUUUACUUUUUAAAUUACAAAAAAUAAAUUUGAAUGUAUAUUACGUAAAUUUUAAUUUUUAAAAAAAUUUAAUUAGCAAAAAGUGUAUGACUUUAUUUUCUUGAUAAAAUAAAUGUUUAUUAAUUUUUGAGAAAUAUGUUAUUUAUUAAUGCACAAAUUCAUAAUUUAAUUAAUUAGAUUAAGUUAAGUAAAAAUUAUAACAUAUAAAUUUGUAUUUAGUGGAUAUAUUAAAUAUUAUAACUUGAAGGGUAUAUUAGACAUUAUAUUAAAAAUAUUUUGGAAUAUUAGUUGGUCAACCACACUAGGGGUAGUGAAUGUUACUCCCUCCGUCCUAUAGUUAUAGACUGAUUUCUUUUGGCACAUAGUUUAAGAAAAUCAGUUUAAGUGACAAUUUUUAACAUAAAUUUUCCACAUAUACCCCUUAAUAUGAAAUUAAUGAAUAAGUUAAUUACUACUUACUUAUUACACUAGAACUCUCGACUUCAUUGAUUGACGUGUACUGACCAUUAAAGUCCAUAAUCAUAAAACUUUAAUCAAAGAGAAUACAACAACAUUAAAUAUGGUGAUAAAAAUAAUGACAUUGAAUAUUGUUUCUUCAAAAAAGAGUAAUGGUUGAAUAUUUAUUAUAAGGGCAUAAAAGUAAAAUAAUGAACCAACUAAAUUUUAUAAAUAGUAAGUAGCCUAUAUAUUGGGACAUCUCAAAAUAGAAAAUCAGCCUAUAAUUAUGGGACGGAGGGAGUACAUAUUAUAGACUAGGGGGUACUGACUGUUACUUAAAAAACUAAAGGGAUAAUGAGUGUUAUUAUGGUUAUUUAUUCAUUAACUUCAUGACUUUAUAUGUUUAUGUAAUCACUUUUAAAAUUAAAAUGAUAAUAUGCAAAUAGUCAAGCUAAAUAUUGAGAAAGUUUUAUGUCAAAUUACGAUUGCGACGUAUAUCAAUACAUGAGAUUGACUAAUAUUAUAUAAUUGACCAACUGUAUCAAAUACAUUAUAAAAUUUUAUCAACUAUAAUUAUCUACGUAACUCGUAAUAAAAAAAUUAACAUGUAAAGUUGUAAUAUAUAUUAUUUUUUAUAUGCAAAUUUUUUUAAAUUUUAAGUGAUUAUAUCUGAAUUUUACCCUAAUAAUCUUGAGCGCAUUACAAAUUGGGGAUACCAUAUUCCUUGAAUUUGGACGUAGGUUGUUAAUCGGAGUUCAAUUUAGGUUUUAAAAGCCAAUUUUUAGUAGUAAAAAACUAACAAGGCAGUGUUUUGACAAAAAAAUUAAUGAAAGGGCAACCAAUUAUGUAUUUAAUUUAUAUUUAUAAUAUAAAUAUCUUAUAAUUUUAUAUAUCAAAUUUAUUUAUUUAGAUAAAUAUAAACAAUAAAUUUUCAAAAACAUAUGUAAUAUUAUAAAUUUUACUCCCUCUGUCCCAUUAUAAUUGACGUUUUACCCCAUUUGAUUUAUUCCAAAAUAUUUGACAUUUAAGGAAAUCAAAGCAUAAUUAAUAUUUUUUUCCAAAUUUAUCUUUAUUUCUGUUUUCCAACAAGUGUUUAAUUAAUGCACAAAAUAAUUAAUUUUUCACUUCAUUAAAUUAGGUGUAGGCUACUUCCUUUCAGAAGUGGUUAGUAUGAAGUUUAUUUUGGGUAAUGCUAACCAAAUCCCUUCUUUUCAUAUUUCUUUGCUUCCCAAUACAUAUUCAAUAACAGUGAUAAUUUUAAUACUCCCUCCGUCCUAGGAUAAAAUGACAAAAUUGCCUAUAAUAAUGUCAUUUAAUAUAGGGAGAGAAUUAGAAUAAGUAAAGUAUGAGAUAUUUAAUGCUACGAGUAUAAUAGGAAAAUAUGUGUAAAAAUUUGGUUAUUAAAAGAAAAUAGACAUUUAAUAUGGGACUACCCAAAAUAGUAAUAAGGACUUUUAUCAUGAGACGGAGGGAGUAUACAAUAUAUAUGUGAGAGGGGAGAAAGAGAAUAGUUAUUAAAUAAGGGUAUUUUAGUCAUAACAAUAAUUUUUUAUUUAUAUUAAUAGUUUUUUUAAUUUAUGUGCAAAAAUCUUAAACGAUACUCCCUCCGUCCCUAUUUAAAUGACGUUUUAGAGUUUUUUAUUUGUCCAUAAUUAAUUGACGUUUGUUCAAAUCUAGGAGAAUAAUGAUAAUUUUUUCAAAAUUAUUUCUAUUACUCUAUUUAUUUUUUUGGUACUUUAAACUCUUGUAUUAUGAUAAAUUAAUAAUUUAAAAAUAUUAUAAAUAAUUAAGUACUAUAUUUAAUAAUUUUCAAUUAUUAUCUUAUUUUUUUGUGUCAUCGGAGGGAGUAUAUAAUUUUAUGUAUUAAUGACUUUAAAAGGUGUACUAAUACGAGAACCUAAUAAAGAUUCCAAAUGUUCCCACAAGGACAAUCCUUGGAAAACGUGACAGAGUGUACCCGCACACUCACACUGUUGACUGUUCAGGUCUCUCUCACUUUUGAGUUCUCAAUUUUAACUUUUCUUUCUUUUUCUCCGUUGAUUUGAUUGCCCCCUCGUGCGGCCCUUUAUUCACAUCUUUUCUCAACUCCAACAUUAGUAGGACCCGCCCACAAUAAUUUACUUAAACCGGAACUUCCAAAUUAGCCUACUCUGUGGCCUGGCAAAAUAUGACUGUAGUUUACAAAAUAUGACUGUGUUUCUAUUUAUUUAGAAAUAUAAUUACAUAAUUUAUUUUUAAUAUAAAUUAUAUGGAUUGAAAUUAUAUAAUUAUAGAUUUAAUAUAGGUCAAUUUAUAUUUUAAAUUUUAAGUUUAUAAUUAUUAUAGUCAAUUAAAAUAAAUUAUUUAUUAUAAUUAAGUUUUAUAUUCUUUAUCUUUUAUCUUUAAUUUUCUUUUUAUAUUAUAUCUCUAAAAAUUUUAAAAUUUAACAAGAAAUUAUGAACUUACAGCCUUAUUACCGUCUUGUUUUACACUUUGGUCGAAACCAAAAUACUCCUAUAAAAUUAUGAACAUAAAUUUAAAACAUAGAUAAAUAUAACUAAUUUGUUAAAAUAAUUUUUGAAUUAAAAUACUCUGUUCGUUCUAAAAUUAGAGAUACAAUUUAAAUUAAGAGUUCAAAUAACGACAUAUUAAACUUUAAAAUUGAUAUGACUCAAAAAAAUUUAGAAUAAAUUAAAUUUUGUAAUUAAUAAUUUUUUUAUAUACUAUAUAACUAUAAUAAUUAUAUUAAUUAAAAUUAAAUAAAUUCACAUCAAUUUAAAUUUUAAUAUGUCAUCGUUUGACUUUAAAAAUUAAAUUAUAUUUCUAAUUUUAAAACGAAAAUAAUAUUAUUUUAAGACAUCUUAAAAAGAUAAAUGCACGCUGGUUGUGACUUGUGAGAUGGAUGCCGUGGAUGGGGAAUAUCAAAACUAUAAUUUGUAAUGAUAUAAAAAUUAAAAAUGAUUCAUUAGAUUUUUUUUUUUACAAUAAUUAUAAUUCAGAACGAGAUAUCUGGUUCCUGAAGUUUUUAUAUUGAGAAGUGGUUAGCAUGAAGUUUAUUUUUGGGUAAAUUGAUCAAUUGAUCAAUAGAGUGCUGACAAACAGACGAUGUUCUAUAUAUAUCAAUAUUCUAUUAAUCAAUUGACCAAAUUAUUAAAAUAUAAAUUUCAUGCUAACCGGAUCCUUUAUAUUGAUAUCUUAGGCUUUGAAUAUUUGUGAGGGUCAGGACUCAGGUUGAGUACUAAGGAAAGGACAAUGGUAGACGCGUCAUGUACCAGAAUUUAAAUGAUUAAACUGUUCCCAAGUUUAAUCAGUAUUUAGCAAUACAAUGAUAUGGAUUUAGAAUGAAAAACAUGGGUUGAAAAUAAUUUAAUUGAUUCGGUUUUAUUUUUUUAUUUGAAAAUACGUGUAAGGCACCGAAUUUUAUAAAAUAAAAAUAUUUAAUUUUUUUUUAUAAAUAUUAUUCUAAAUAGUAAGAUAAUAAUUUAAUAAAUGCUAUAGUUAUGAGUGAUAUGUAUAAAUUUUACAAAGUAAGUAAGUUGUCAUAAAAUAUUCGUUGUGUUUGAGAAUAUUGUUUUUGUUGGAAAAUAUUCGUACGAUGACGCAAUCAUUGGUGGAUCCCACAAUAGAAUAAUUUCCGGAUUUAGAAAGCGACAAAAAUAACUUUUUUUAUAAAAAUACCGACAAGACUUUUACCUGUCGACGUCAGAAUUUUUAUUUGUCUCUUUCUGUUCUUAUCUUUUAGUGUUCUCAUUUUAGGUGAGUUUUGUUUAAAAAACAAAUUUGAAAAGGUCCAACAUGUAUAUAUCGACGAUUUGACUGUUAGAGUCGUUAGUUGAUAAUUUUUAAAUGGUUGCACCAACUCAACAGAGAAAAGAUUUGCACAAAGACCCAAUGGUUUGACACUGUUUAAUUGUCUUGGAAAUCGAGAUUCGUUAGGGUCUGGGGGCUUGAUUAAGCGGAGAAAAGGUGUUAGGCACCCUAACUUUCGUGAUAACACGGUUAUCGACACUUUCAUUAACUUUUUAUCUGCGUAUGUGUGUGUGUGAAUUAGGUCUAUGUGCAAUUGUCUAUAAAUAGUGUUAUGCAUCGUUUGCAACUAUAUACAAAUGGUUUGACUUUUGUAUAAAAGUUUAAUUUUAACAAGAUAUAGCAGUGAUGUUUUGGAAAACAAGUUUUUCAAACCCGUAUGCUCAAUAGUAAUUGAGGCUUUUGAUACUUUUGUUUUAUUAUGUUCGACUUGAUUGCUUUUAUUUUCGAGAUGCGAGACAUCUUCAUGAAAAUAAGAUACAUAGUAGUGCCAAACUCCUUGUGGACAUGAGAGCCAUCUAAGGAUAUACAGACACCGUAGAUAAUUUACAAGCUGACUGCAGCUGUAAAAUGUCAAUCACGGAAACCGAAUCUAGAUUCAGAGGCUGAAUCUGUGAUCACAUGAUUCCUAGGCUCACAUGAAAAAGCAAUAUGUAUAAACGCUAGAAAAAGAAAUAUAUUUGAAUAAAUCUAAACCAUUCUAGCUUCAACGGUUCUAGUUUAGAAACUUCUGAACCGGUCAAAGUUAGAAAUAGUAAGAUUUAGGCAAAUCUAUCCCGCAGGCUGAACAAUUAAAUAUCUGCAUUAUGAAAACAAUUAAAGAAGAUAUAUAUAUAUAUAUAUAUAUAUAUAUAUAUAUAUAUAUAUAUAUAUAUANNNNNNNNNNNNNNNNNNNNNNNNNNNNNNNNNNNNNNNNNNNNNNNNNNNNNNNNNNNNNNNNNNNNNNNNNNNNNNNNNNNNNNNNNNNNNNNNNNNNCAAGACGAAAAUAAAAGUUUUCCGAGAAAUUUUCCGAAAAAUACUAUUCAUCAAUUUCCGCUCAGAAAUUUUUUUUGAACUUCCGAGAAAUACGUAGCGAUAGAAUAUUGAGGUGAGAUAUAUUAUGUAAUAAUAAUUCAAGUAUGGAAAACGUAUUUUUUCGCAUGCAGACCUAAUUUGAGAACGUUAGGGAAAAUAAAGCGUUAGAAGUUAAUGUGAUGAUCGUAUGAUACGUAUGUAUUGUAUAAGGUAAUGAAUAUGAGUAUGUAUGAAUGAUUGUAUAUCGUAUAUUAUGAAUUAGUAUACGAGUGAGAAUAUGAGAAAUAUACGUAUAGUAUACGUUCUAAGGCUUUAAGCCAAUUAUAGUGGACUUGUGGGAUUGUGAAACAAUUUGUAAAGUCCAAUAGAAGUUAAAUUACAAGCCCAAAAGAAUAAGUUAGGCUAAUUGGAUUAAAGCCCAAUUUAAGAACCAAUGGGUAGCUUGAUCCAUGGGGCAACCCAUGGGUGAUCUUAGUGCCCAAGUAUUGGAUAAGUGUUUGUGAUGGCCAAGCAUUGACUGUGGUGGCCAAAUUAACUUAAUAGCUAGGGAAAUGAAUAGUAAGGAGGUGGGAUGGCCUAAUGACCAAACUACCCUAACUUAGGAAAUCCUAUAUAUACCAAGCUUUGGAUUUCAUUAUUUGCUUGUUCAUUUUCAUCCAACAACUUUCAACAAGUUAAGUGCUUAAGUGUUAGAGAGAAUAAGCAAGUUAAGUUAGACUUUCAAGAAGAAGAAGAAAAGCUAGUUCAUCAAAGGUCCUAUGUCAUAUAUCUCCCAUCUCUACCAUUGUAGGGUGAUAAGAGAAGUAUGGAGUAAUGAACAUGUAUGCUAAGAAAUCAUAAGAAUGGAUAAUCUAAGGACUUAAGUCUUAAUAAGCCGAGAAUAAGUACUUUGUUCAUAAUUAAGCUAUGAGCUAAGGAAGAACUUGUAAGACUUGUAUCAUGUUUACAUGAAUGAUGUUAGCAUGAUAAAAGGAUGUAAGAAUGAUAGUUAAACGACAUAAGCUAUCAUAAGUCAUGAGAAUUGUAACUAUAUGUAAUUAUACUUGGAUAAGUUAUAAACUCAUGAAGAAUAAGCAAUAACUUGUCAAAUAAAUAAAUUAAUGAAAUAAGUAGGUUAAGAUGUCAAUUUGAUGGAUAGAAUCCAUUUGGAACGAUGAAAAAAUCAUAAGUGAUGAAGUUAUGUCGUAAUUCACACGAUUGGACGAAAAUCGUCGAAUUCGUAAAAUUCUCGGAAUGGAAGUCGGAUUUUGGUUUUGAGCUCGGAAACGUUGGUUUUCAAUGGGAACAAGUCUUAUUGGGCAUUAUAGAGUUGCGGACUCAAAAAUGACCGAAUUCUGACUUAGAACGAAGAAAUGAGCGUUGUAUGAAAGUUUAUCGUUUUCGUUAAAAAUGAACCAAUAGGUGAAUUUUGAGUUAACGAAGUCGAAAAUAUAAAAUUCUUUCAUGAACACGUAGAGUAUGUGAUUUGUGAGCUAAUGACUUUUGAAUGAGCCAAUUCGGACUUAAAAUGAUCAAAUUUGGAGUUCGGGAAGUUCGUUAUGCAAAUCAAAGCUGUCAAUUGUCUGGUGCACAGAGCUAGCACUGCGGCGCCAGCCCAAGGCAUAUAGGCGGCCCUGCAACGUCGAGCAGUGCAGAGGAGAAGCUGUGACCUAUUGGAGUUUGGCACCACAGCGCGACCCAAUGUACUGAGUAUGGCGCCGCAUCGCCGGAACCGGGUGAAAGCCACUGAAGUUUGGCACCGCAGCGCGACUUAAGUAAAGAAAGCUGGCGCCGCAGCACCAGCCAUAGGGUUUUGACAGUAAAUAAUGUUUGUAAGUAGAGCAUGAAUGGUAAUUAAUUAACAAUGAACUAAAGCUUAAUUAUAACAUCGUAAGGCAUUGUUAAACAUUAAAGUAUGAUCAUUAAAGGUUAAUGAUAAUCAAUCGAACAUGAACGUAACGACAAUGUAAGUUAUAACGGCAAGCCGGAACCAAUAAUAAACAAUCUAAUACGUAAUUAGAUUGAGAAGAAGGGUAAGAUUCGUUAGGAAUCAUGUAUGUUAUUCAGGACCUAAUGUGUUACGUUAUAUGAUCAUCUACUAUAGAGACCUUAAAAACUUAAAGUGUACGUGUAAUUACAGUAGUAGACGCUGAAGGAAAGUGUUCUAACCUUUGUUUCAGUUCAAUCUGAACAAGCUUUGUGAUUCAUGUAUUCUUACGCAUGAAUUGAUGAAUGAUGGAGUCAAAGCCAGUUCUUUUGGCUAGACUUACGAUAUGUUGGAUUUCUUAUAAUCUAUUGAAAUAUUGUUAAUGUUUUAUCAAACUAUGUUGGUGUGAUUUUCAAAUGAAGACUGAGUAUGCUAAAAGGUUUUGUCGUCAAACGACUGACACGUGAGGUUGCCACAACUUAAACGUACAUACGUUUAAAGAAUGUAGUGUUGAUCAACAUAGAGUACUAUAGGCUGAUCACCUAGACGUGCUCGUAAGAUAUGCCAGACUUAGUGCCGGGUUGUCCUUUUCAAAGAAAGUAUGAAAUGUUCAUGGUCUUGGACCGAAAUUGAUGUUUUACUGAAUAUUGUCAUUGUAAAACGUUUUGAAGGAAAAGUGAAGUGCUAUUUUGUAUUACCAAUAGUACUUCAUAACUAUUGUUCAGUUAUUGAAGUACCCGUGAAUAGUACUUUGUGAAUAGUACACCGUGAAAAGUACUUUGUGAAUAGUACCGUAAAAAUGAAUACUACUCAUGGAUAGUACUCUGACAUGAAAAACUUAAAAUUUAACAAGAAUGUGCAGAAAAUAUCCUUGUGAAACGAUACUAGAUGAAGCGCAAAUUUCAAGAAUAUUCUACUAAUUUCGGGGAGUAUAGAAGCAAUACUUUAACAAAAUGAGGGUAUAAUCAGGAAUUCGAUACGAAAUAAUAUUACUCACAUACUAUAGAGUAUGGAAGAAAAUAUUAUUCCUUAUAAAUACUGAAAAAAAUAAUCUCCCUUACCUCAGAAGAAGACUGGAUACUGGAAUAGUGAAGUAGCAGACUUCUCUUCUUCUUUCUCUCUAUAGCUUCUCUCUCUAUAAUUGCUCUUGUGAGUCUUAGUGAAUUGGUGAGAAUGAAAGAAGAAUGAGCUUCUAUUUAUAGGAAAAUAUAGUUUCGAUAAUUGCACGUUUUGGGGCUCGAAAUAUUACAGUAUAAUACCUUCAUCUUUUCCUUCAUUUUUAAUUUAGUCAUGCAAGUAUUAUCAAACUUGCACCACCUCCCCUAAUAGUACAUGAAUUUGAAUCAAUAAUACAUUCAUAUGAAUCAAUAGUUCUAUACAUGUGAAAAAAAUAGUUACGGUAUAGUACCUUCAUCUAUACCUCUAUUUUUAAUUUAGUCAUGCAAGUAUUAUCAAUCUUGAACCACAUCCCCUAAUAGUACAUGCAUGUGAACAAAUAGUUAUAAGCAUGUGAAUUAAUAACAAUUAAUUGCUCAUUUAUCCGAUUAAUUACCCGAUUGGUCAAUAUAACCUCCGAAAAUUAAUUAUUAUAGAAAUAAUGUCGAUUUCCACUAACACUAAUAAUCCCAACACAAUGGAAAUAUCAAUUUCAUUUUUAAUCAACACGAACUUAUUCAUCAUUAAUAUUAUAACUCACAAUAUUUAACAACUAGAUCAUUCCCUGGAAAGAGGGGGCUUUCCGAUAAGAAUUUUUCCCUAUUGGCGCGCAAUUAGGUGACCAAACCUUUCCUUGACAGAGCUUUCUAGACAUUGUCAAUAUUUUAAAUAAUAAUAUGAAUAACUUUGUCAUCUCAAUUAUUAAUUUAAUAAUAUAAAAUAUUAUGCAGAUGAUACUGUGACAAUAAUUGAAUCAAUAAUAUGAGAGAUAUUAUGCAGCAAUUACUGUAGCAAUAAUUGAGUAUAACUAAGUGACUUCUCACGUAAGCAUCAAUAAUCAAUACCGUGUGCUACUAUGCAACAACGCGUAUUACUGUUCUUUUACCACAGGGUAUUUCAACAGUUUAACGGUAAAACUUUUGCCAUUACUUUAAUAAAAAGAUAAUUAUCUCAUUUUCUAACUCCGACAAUAAUUCUGUUUGUGGGGUCCACCAAUGAUUGUGCCGUCGUACGAAUAUUCCCUGUUAAAACGAAUAUUCCCCGACCAAUCGAAUAUUUUAUAACCACUUGCUUACUUUGCAAAAUUUGUAAAUAUUACCCACAACUAUAAUAUUAUAUCAAAUCCAUAUCAUAAUAUUCAAAAAUAUAUUUUGAGAAAAAUUAAUCUUUAUUCAUAAAAGUUGGGGUCUUACAACCUCCCCUUCUUAUGAAAUUUUGUCCUCGAAAUUAGGGUGCGUACCUGGUAUGUUGAAGAUGUGAGGAUACCUUGACUUCAUUUCAGAUUCUAACUCCCAGGUCAUUUCCUCAACAUUGUGGUUUUUUCACAAAACUUUAACUUGAGGUAUAACCUUGGAGCGUAGAAUAUGAUCCUUCUUAUCCAAGAUUUUAACAUGUACCUCUUCAAACAUUAUAUCUCCACCUUCUCUCCAUACAGGUAAUGCCUCCAAAUCUUAAGCGCAAAAAUGACAUCUGCCAACUCUAGAUCAUGAGUAGGAUAAUCCUCUCAUAUUCUUUGAGUUGUCGUGAGGCAUAGCCUAUGACUUUCCCAUGUUGCAUGAGAAUACAUCCUAACCCUUUGCCUGAAGCAUCACUGUAGAUAAAAAAUCCCUCCGAGCCAGAUGGUAUUGUCAGAACAAGUGCUAAAAUGAGUCUCCUCUUGAGUUGUUGAAAACUCUUCUCACAUUCCUCGCUCCAACCGAAUUUUGUAUCUUUCUGAGUCAGCUGAGUUAAUGGAGUAGCGAUUCGAGAAAACCCUUCUACAAAUCUCCGAUAAUAACUAGCUAAGCCGAGAAAGCUACGUACUUCGGUCACUGACUUAGGUUGCUGCUAGCUUUGAAUUGCUUCAACCUUUGCCGGGUCAACGGAUAUUCCAUGAUUUGAUAUCACGUGCCCAAGGAAUGCUACUUCCUCAAGCCAAAACUCGCAUUUCUUCAACUUGGCAUAUAGCUUAUUUUCACGAAGCUUUUGGAGUAUCAGCCUCAAGUGUUGCUCAUGAUCUUCACGUCUUUUGGAGUAUAUGAGGAUGUCAUCAAUAAAGACAACCACGAAGUGAUCCAAAUAUUCCUUGAAUACUCGGUUCAUCAUAUCCAUGAAGGCAGCAGGAGCAUUAGUCAAUCCAAAAGACAUGACUAGGAAUUCAUAAUGCUCGUACCGAGUUCUGAAAGCAGUCUUUGGGAUGUUAUUGGUUUUAAUCUUUAACUGAUGAUAUCCAGAACGAAGAUCGAUCUUUAAAAAGAAUUUGGCUCCUUGUAACUGGUCAAAAAGGUCAUCAAUGCGAGGCAACGGGUACCUAUUUUUGAUGGUGACAUGAUUCAACUCCCGAUAGUCAAUACAAAGUUGCAUACUUCCAUCUUUCUUCUUCACAAAUAGAACAGGAGCACCCCAAAGAGACGUACUAGGACGAAUGAAACCGAUAUCUAAUAAUUCCUAUAGUUGGGUUUUUAACUCCUGAAGUUCAAUAGGAGCCAUUCAAUAUGGGGCUUUGAAAAUGAAUUUUGUACCAGGUUCAAGGUCAAUACCAAACUCGAUUUCACGCUCUGUGGGUAGGUCAGGAAGUUCUUCAGGGAAUACAUCAGGGAAUUUAUUAACAAUAGAAAUAUCAUUCAAAUCUCACGUAUUUUUGUUUAAAUCUGUGACAUGGGCUAAGAAAACUUGACAUCCGUUUUUCAAUAAACGAAUAACUUUAUGGCUUGAUAUGACAGUGAUUGACUUUAGUGGUUUGGUUGUUUGAAUUCGCAUAAUAGGUUGGUUAGGAAUAUGAAAGCUAACAACCUUACGAAAAUAAUAAAUUUUUGCAUGAUGAGUAGUUAACCAAUCAAUCCCUAAAAUCACAUCAAACACAAGUAUUUUUAAAGAGAUAAGGUCGACAGGUAAUGUGCGAGUGCCGAUUUGGAUCAAACAAGACUUAUAAACAGUGGAUGUAAUGAAGGUUUCUCCCAACGGAGUUUCAACAGAUAAGUCAAAGUCUAAUUUCUCAAGAGUCAAAUUUAAACGUUGAGCGCAAGUAGAAAAAAAUAAAAGAAUGGGUAGAACCGGUAUCAAAUAAGGUAUAGACUUCGCUAGAGUUUAUGAUUAGCUUACUCGUGAUCACCUCAUUCGGAUUCCUCGCUUUUUGGGAGGUUACGAUAAAAGCUCUCCCUUGAACUACCGGUUUUGUCUUGUCUGGGACGGCCUUUGAUGCCUCCAUCCCAGCUGGACUUGUCUUCUGUGCACGACAAAAUCGAGCUAGGUGACCUUCUCUUCCACAAUUAUAACAUGUUUUGGACUGAUGCGUACAGUUUGGACUGAUGUGUGCCUCCCCUCCACAUUUUUAAUAUACGACUGACGGUCGUUCUCCUUCCUUAACAACAGGUGAUGGUGCUGACGUCUUUCCAUCAUUAUUGAAUUUUCUCUUCUCAAAAUUUCCACUUCUAUUAUCUUGGCCAUGAUUACCACCGAAGUGGUUACCAUUUCUGGCAUGUUAAUUCCCUCCACAUUUGUUGUCACCGCUUCGAUAACUGCUACCACUGGUAUUAUCAAUUUGCCAGCUACUCUCUCUUGGUUGGGUUGAGUCAUUAUCGCGCUCCAAUAACUGAGCCCUAUUUACAACAUCUGAAUACAAACACAGUUUGUGAGAAAUUAGGUAUUGACGUAUCUCAGGUUUCAAACCUCUUAGAAACAUCCAUUCUUUCCUCAUUAUCAACUAAGUGGGACGCAAACCGAGACAACUCGGUAAACUUAGCUUCGUACUGUGACAAGGUCAUAUUAUUUUGCUCCAGCUUGAUAAACUCUACCUCCUUCAUGUGACGAAUACUUUCGGGAAAGUACAUGUCGUUGAACAGUUCUUGGAAUUUCUCCCAAGACAUCUUCAGUGCGGAAGGUUGAGUACGCUUUACAGAUUUCCACCAGUAAUCUGCCUCUCCUCGCAACAUGAAGGUGGCAAAGGGAACCUUUUGCUUCUCAGAGCAUCCUAAGACAUCAAAUAUCUUGGUCAUCUGCUUUAUCCACGUCUUUGCCUUAAGUGGUUUUGGCUCUCCCAAAACCUCCGGUGGUCCUAGCUCCUUAAACUAUUUAGUGGUGACCGUCCGAGAGUUGCCAGUGUUUCCACCUGCAUUUUGAACAGGAGUCGUUCUCGCCUGAUGUUGUAUGAAUUGCAUAAAGCCUCUGAACAUCCCAUCGUUCAUUAUUUGGUCAGCGUUGUUGUUUUCCUUAGGAUUAUUGCCAUCCUGAUGCACAUUAUCCUGGGUAUUGAUUGUUGGUGACUCAACGGUCUCAUGUGCUUCAUUGCUUAUCUAAACAUUUUUGGAUGCCAUUAUCAAAUACUGCCACAAAACAAGGGUUAAUUGACAUGUCACAUAUUAUCCCUAUACUCUGACCGUCUAAAUAAAUACCAAAUAAACUUAGGUAGGUCAUAUUAGCGAAGGAAUUUCCCGUCUCUCCCCUCGUAGUUCUAGUCUCACAUCUCAGCCAGGGAUCAUAUCUCUAAGCUUUGAUACCAACUGUGACGUCCCCAACAUAGGUAUGCAUCACCCAUUCUGAGUCGCCAAAUACAUGGUACAUAAAUCAAAUACAAACUUCUUUUAAACAAUACGACAACAGUGUAGCUUAGAGUUUUUACACGAAUAUUGUCUCAUAGACAGUAUUCAAACUCAAAUGAAGUCCUCAUUAUAUUUAUUAUCACACUAUUUCAUAAAAUAGUGAGGACUACUAUAGCCACCAUCUCGAACCGUCACUCUGUUCCCCGACUAGACCCAGCUACGUUCUCAUUUCCUGAAGAGAAAAAUGAAAGCAAAAGGGUGAGCUCAACUAGCCCAGUAAGAAAUAUAAUGACUAAGAUAAUGUGUAACGCCCCAAAAUUCGAUCUAUCUUAACACCCAAAUUCCGUACGUCACGAGUACUGUGACAACCCGAGAAUUUGGAAUAUUUUUAAAAUUUUUAUUAAUUGAUUUAAGGUUCAAUAUUAGAACGUAUGCAGAAAAUAAGUGUAUGCGUUUGAUAUUUUUAAGAUUGAAUUUUGAGGAUUUCAAAAUUCUGUGAAGGAUUUAGGUGAAUUAUUCAAGAUUGAGUAAUACGUGAAUAUGUUCUGUGUAUAUGUGUGCAUGAUGUGGUUAAGGGUCAAGGGUUGACCAGAUAAACGAUAUCUGUAACAAACCCUAAGUAUAUAUUAAGAGCGUCAACGUUCGGUUCAAAAACCCUAGCGAUUAACAAGAAACCCUAAAACCGGUUCUGGAAACCCUAAUUUCAGUUCCGGGAAUCCGAAACCCUAAUUCAGUGCAUGAAAACCUAAAUCAGGAAUUUAAUGGCGUAAGUGUAAAUAAUUAUAGUAUAUUAAUUAGGGUAAAGCUUAAUUAAUUAGUAAACCCUAAUUUCACAUUUUGAAAACCCUAAUUUCUGGUUUAGGAACCCUAAUCAGCGAUUUUGACCCUAAUUGCUUAAAUAGCGAUUUUAAUUAGGAAAUACUAAUCCUAAUUAGCAAUAUUUAAAUUAUGAUUAAGAAAUUUUAAUAUAAUUAGAAAAUUCUAAUUAUAAUUUAGAAAUAUUAAUUUUUUAUUUUUGAAAACCUAAAUUGGAAAUUUUAGAAAAUAAAUUACAAACCCUAAAUUGGCUCAAACUCUAAACCCUAAACCUUAACUAAACCCUAAACCCUAAGGGUUUGGUCAAAUGUCCAAAAUGCCAUUAAAAUAAAAUGGAAAAUGACUAGAAUGCCCUUUGUGUAUUAUUUAAUGGUUGGAGUGUAGAUCUUGCCAUGAUCUUGGUUUGGUGAACCACCCUAGACCUAGCAUUUGACUUAUAGCUCACUUAUCAGCCAUCUUGGCCAGCCAUAUACAUUGCAUCUUGAGUUUAAAAGCAAAAAGCCUAGAAAAGUGAAUUACUUUACUCUUCAAAAUAGCCAAGUCCCUUCUCUCUCUAUAUUUUCGGAUCUUAGAGUGAGAAAGUGUGAGAAACAAAGCCAAGGUCAUGUAAUAACACACCAAGAACAGAUCAUGAUGAUCAGAUUCAAAGAUCAAAGCUUAGAAGGUAUAUGAACCCUAAACCUAGAAAUUUCAUGAUUUGAUGUAAUAUGUUGUAAUUUGUUGGCUAGAUAUGUGUUAGAGGGUGUCAUUUGAUGAUCUGGGUUGUCCAAACUCAGAUCCAUAUCAUUUUGAUGCUCAAAAUUUGAGUUUUCAUAAAUCUGGAAAUCUGGAAAAUUAAAGCCUGACAGCCUAAAGUCAGGACCUUUAGAUCCGUGUGUGUUAAGUCUUUUGUGUAGUUUAUGUUAUAGAUCUGUAGUAUGCCAUGUUGUCUUUAAUUUGGAAUUGAAAUCGUAGCUAUUGGAUGUAUAGAUUUCAUUUUUAUUCGUGGUCAAACACGGUUGACCGAGCUUGACCGGCUUAAUUAUGGGUUACCCAGAAUGCCUUGUCUAGUGUCUGACAGCGUUUUGUGGCCUUGAGAUCUGUCAGUAUAAAUGUGAUUUGUUGAUGUUAUGUUAUUCAAUGUGUAGCCUGUUGUUUGGACUGUAGACACAUACCUUAAGAUCCUUUAGAACAUCAACCGAUCGAGUGUUAUAAGUGGUAAAAAUAGGCUAAACGAACACGGAUGACAUUUAUGGAAAUUUCCAGAAAUCAUAAGAACAUGAUGUCUGACAAGGUUUGACCGUGUCAUAAUCUAUGGAUCUGUUGUUUCUGGACUGAGAUAUUAUUAUCUCGUUGUUGUUUGUCAUGUGAGCUACGAUUAUAAACCAAGAAACAACCAAAAUAGUUAACAGAACACUUAGAUAAAUGAGAUUGAAAGUGGCAGCUCGAGUUUCUGGGUUUCUGAAGAAACCCAGGUUUAGUCUCUGACAGGUACUUUGAGAGUCCAGAUCAUUUUGAUGUAUUAUUGUUUGAUCAAGUUGUUGGUUGUGUAUUGUAGUGUUACAUAAACACUACACGAUCACAUUUUAAACUAUCCUAGAACAUGAUCAGAUUUGAUUUUAUUAACGGUCAAAGUUGACCCCUUGAAGUUGCCGGCUGUCAGUGUUCUUGAGCUCAAGAACACCAACAGCGACGGUUUCUGUCGUUAUAGACAUUUAGCGACGGUUAAUUUAAUUUUUGAAUUUCUGAUUUUCCCGAAAAUACUUAAAAAUAGAUAAAAAUUGUUUUUAAUUAUUAAAAAUAUAUAUUAAAUUAUGAAAAAUUAUUUUAAAGCUUGAAAAAUAGUUUUUAAUUAUUUUAAGUAUAUUUCAUAAAUAUUUAAUAUUUUUGAAAUUUAAAUGGUAUUUAAUUUAUUUAAUUAUAAUAUUAAAUAAAUAAUUUAAAAAUGAUUUUUAAUUCAUGAAAAAUAAUAUUAUGGUAUAAUAAAAUAUUUUUAGUUAUUUUUAGUGACUUUUAAUAUUUUGGGAUGAAUUUCAUUAAUUAAUCAAUAUUAAUGAUAAUUAGUUUAUUUAAUAAAUAUAUUAAAUAAAUUAUGGAAAAAUAGAAUAAAUGGUUUAUAAAUUAUAUAAAAAUGAUUUAAGGGUUAGAAAAAUAUUUGAAGUUAUAAAAUAUAACUUUUGAUAUUUUGUCAUGAAAAUAUUAAUAUUUUAACAUUAAUAGUAAUUAUCGGAUAAUGAAUUUAACGGUUUAAAAAUCAUAUAAAUAUGAUUUUAAAGUAUUAAAAAUACUUUGAUAUAUUAUAAAUAUAUUAUAAUAUUAUGACAUGUAUUUCAUUAAUAUUUGAUAUUAAAUAAAUAUUAAUGAUAAAAGAAUUAUGUGGUAUUUAAUUAAGUUAAAUACGUUAUUAAUGAUUGAAAAUACGUGAUAAAUAGUAAUAAUUAUUUAAAACUUAUUACGAGCUUACGAAAAAUAUUUUGACUGAUAUGAAAAUUAUUUAAGUUAUUUGUUAAGUGUUUAGUCAGAGUUUAAUUGAACUUAGACUCGAUAAAAGUCCGACUAGACCGUCGGGACGUUAGAAUUUUGUCGGGAUCAACUCAGACUGUAAUAGUUUGACUUGAUACUGAGUUAUGUAUGUUGUAGACUGAUAGGAUUAUGUGUUAUGUGUUUAGGUUAUUAUAUGUAUAUAUAUAUAAUUGUAUUAUAUUGUGAUGAUAUUAUUCUAAUAUUGGAGAUCUAUAUUACUAAUAUUAGGUCUUCGGAUAAGGCGAUAUAAAUUGCGUAGCGGUAAUCAACGGUUCAGGCAAGUUUGUUUUUCUUAACUAUAUUAAGAGUGUUUCAUUCGGAUAAGCUUAUGGUUAAUCAUUGUUGAUUGCCAUGUAUAAUUGUACUAUGUACAUAUUGCAUGUAUAAGUCAGGUAUAAAAGGCUGAUCACCUUCAUUACCAGUUGUUUCAGAUAUAUUUGUUCAUGUAUAAUACUUGUUCAGUCAUAAAUUUGUUCCUGCUAGUUCACAAUUAUAUUGUUGAAUUAUAGCCAGCCAAUUAUUCAAAUCAUUUCAAUCAUGAUAUAUCGUUAUAUUGUUAAAUUUAAACUUGCUGGGCAACUUUCAUGCUCACUCUUGCUAUAUCAUGAUAAACAUUGCAGAUUAAGACGAACGCGUCGGAUACAGGAAAAGAUUAAAGAAAGUUCCAACUUUAGUUUAUGUAUGUGAUUAAGAAUGUAAUAGUGUAGUUUGAUAAUAAAGUUAUGUGUUAGAUAUUUAUGAAUUAUGUAUAAGUUAAGGUUACUCAACCUUGGGGAAUAGUGUAUAAUAUAAUGUAUAAACAAUUUAUGUUUAUAUCUUCCGUAAAUAGUAAUAGUUGUAUAGAAUGAUAGAACCGAAUCUGAGGUGAUUUAGGACCUGGAUUCGGGGCCGUCACAGUUGGUAUCAAAGCUGUAGGGUAUGAAGCUUAGGUAGGAAUACCUGAGACUAAUAAUCGCAGUGAUUAGGAUAUGAUCUAACUCACAUAGAGUUAGUUGGUCGGUAGGAUUCAAAGACGAAUCUCGGCGAGUUAUAAGAUACAGAGUUCCCUAACUCUGAUAAUAAAGUUGAACAGUAAUGAUGAAUAGAUAGAGUCUAAAAGACUAAAAGUGCAGUGAUAGAAGAUCGUAAAACAAAACGAUCAAGAUAUAGAAAUGAAUCGUAAUAUAUACGAUAAGAUCACCCCGUGAUCUGAUAAAGUGAUAGAAUGGAAAGAAUCAAUCUAAUGAUUGAAAAGUUUACAGAAAAGUUUGCUAUGUGGCAGUUGUACUAUGAAAAACUCAAGAAAGAGUUAUGGAUUAUGAAUACGGAUUAAAUGAAAUUCAUAUUGAAAAGGGUGUUAGUGGUAGGUGGGGAUUCAAUUGAGGACUCGUGUCAGCCGUUGAGUUGUAUGAUUCUUCGUAUGGGAGCUGAAUUGUACAUGGUGUAAAAACCACUUAAUUUCUGGCAAUGAUAAUCAUUGAAAUGUUUGUGUCGCGCUAUUUACUAUAUGCGUGUUAAGAGGGUGAUUCCUUUCUCAUGUGUAUAACAGAUAGAUAGGUCAUAGGUAGAGGAUAUAAGGUUAAGUACGAGUUCUUAAAACUCAUACUUAUGUGACAUACUUGAUUCAUAGUUAUAUGAAAUUUUUAUGAACCCCUCAACGAAUGGACACCAAAGGUCUGGCUAGGACAAGUUCUUAAACUCAUAUGAUUGUGGUAAUUUAUGGACUCAUAAGUGUGGUUUGAAGAACUGGGUAUAGUUGUGUGUAAAUGGAAUAUUGAGGAUAAUAGAAACAGAUAGAUUGUUAAGCAAAUGAUUAUUAGUGGAGACCUAAGUUUUCCAAAACUCCUAGCUAUGCUAGACUUCGAAAUGUUGACAUCAAGCUAAAUACGCACUAUGUGCCUUUAAAAAAAAUAAUAUGUAGACUUGUAAUCAUUUUUGAAACGGUUUAAAGUAUAGUCUAUGCUACUUAUUUCAGCUAGACACAAAUGAUUUGAAAUAUCAAAUUUUUUUUUAUUUAUCAUUCAUGUACCAUGUAACCUGGUGCAGAGAUGAUAUAAAUUUGAUGGAGUUGUAAAUACAGGAAUACUUAGUGUGAAUUUGAUCUAAAAUCGUUGUUCCACUAUUGUAUGAUGUGUUAUGACAAAGUCAUACAAUGACGGCAUCCUCAAACGGACUGUUAAUACAAUACGACAUCAUGGCGUCAUUCUCGAAAAUAUUUUCAAAAAUUUUAAUUUGCCAACAGGGUUUGGCUACACCUGAAUAAUUCGAUUGAAUUGAAUUAUUGAUAUGAGUCUAUGCUAUUCGAUUCAGCUAGACUAAUGUUAUGAAAACACUAAAGUGUUCAUUGAAAGAAAUUUCCCGAACCAAAUUGCUUUGGUACGGAAUCCUAUGACAAGACUGAGGUGAACUAUGUAGAUUGGAUUAAAUAAUUCAAUAGCGAGAAUAUUCGCAAGACAUGAUAAACGUACGUACCAGCAAUAGUAGUUUACCUUCUUCGUGAUUGUAAACAUAUUGUUAACCUAUAUAAGGGGUCGAGUACCUUUUUCUUAAUUGAAAUUGGUAGUACGUAGUAAUACCUAUAAACCUCAAUAGUUCAUGGUCUAUAUGACCCCUCAGUACAAUUUGAAAACUUUUACUCUUCUGAGAGGUGUAUUGGGUAGCAAAAGAAUGUGUGUGAAUGGUGUAAGGUGUAAGGUAAAUUUCAGGGACGAAAUUUUUAGAAGAAGGGGUGAAUGUGACAACUCGAGAAUUUGGAAUAUUUUUAAAAGUUUUAUUAAUUGAUUUAAGGUUCAAUAUUAGAACCUAUGUAGAAAAUAAGUGUAUGCGUUUGAUAUUUUUAAGAUUGAAUUUUGAGGAUUUCAAAAUUCUGUGAAGGAUUUAGGUGAAUUAUUUAGGAUUAAGUAAUACGUGAAUAUGUUCUGUGUAUAUGUGUGCAGGAUGUGGUUAAGGGUCAAGGGUUGACCAGAUAAACGAUAUCUGUAACAAACCCUAAGUAUAUAUUAAGAACGUCAACGUUCGGUUAGAAAACCCUAUCGAUUAACAAGAAACCCUAAAAUCGGUUCUGGAAUCCCUAAUUUCAGUUCCGGGAAUCCAAAACCCUAAUUCAGUGCAUGAAAACCUAAAUCGGGAAGUUAAUGGCGUAAGUGUAAUAAUUAUAGUAUAUUAAUUAGGGUAAAGCUUAAUUAAUUAGUAAACCCUAAUUUCACAUUUUGAAAACCCUAAUUUCUGGUUUAGGAACCCUAAUCAGCGAUUUUGACCCUAAUUGCUUAAAUAGCGAUUUUAAUUAGGAAAUACUAAUCCUAAUUAGCAAUAUUUAAAUUAUGAUUAAGAAAUUUUAAUAUAAUUAGAAAAUUCUAAUUAUAAUUUAGAAAUAUUAAUUUUUUAUUUUUGAAAACCUAAAUUGGAAAUUUUAGAAAAUAAAUUGCAAACCCUAAAUUGGCUCAAACUCUAAACCCUAAACCUUAACUAAACCCUAAACCCUAAGGGUUUGGUCAAAUGUCCAAAAUGCCAUUAAAAUAAAAUGGAAAAUGACUAGAAUGCCCUUUGUGUAUUAUUUAAUGGUUGGAGUGUAGAUCUUGCCAUGAUCUUGGUUUGGUGAACCACCCUAGACCUAUCAUGUGACUUAUAGCUCACUUAUCAGCCAUCUUGGCCAGCCAUAUACAUUGCAUCUUGAGUUUAAAAGCAAAAAGUCUAGAAAAGUGAAUUACUUUACUCUUCAAAAUAGCCAAGUCCCUUCUCUCUCUAUAUUUUCGGAUCUUAGAGUGAGAAAGUGUGAGAAACAAAGCCAAGGUCAUGUAAUAACACACCAAGAACAGAUCAUGAUGAUCAGAUUCAAAGAUCAAAGCUUAGAAGGUAUAUUAACCCUAAACCUAGAAAUCUCAUGAUUUGAUGUAAUAUGUUGUAAUUUGUUGGCUAGAUAUGUGUUAGAGGGUGUCAUUUGAUGAUCUGGGUUGUCCAAACUCAUAUCCAUAUCAUUUUGAUGCUCGAAAUUUGAGUUUUCAUAAAUCUGGAAAUCUGGAAAAUUAAGGCCUGACAGCCUAAUGUCAGGACCUUUAGAUCCGUGUGUGUUAAGUCUUUUGUGUAGUUUAUGUUAUAGAUCUGUAGUAUGCCAAGUUGUCUUUAAUUUGGAAUUGAAAUCGUAGCUAUUGGAUGUAUAGUUUUCAUUUUUAUUCGUGGUCAAACACGGUUGACCGAGCUUGACCGGUUUGAUUCUGGGUUACCCAGAAUGCCUUGUCUAGUGUCUGACAGCGUUUUGUGGCCUUGAGAUCUGUCAGUAUAAAUGUGAUUUGUUGACGUUAUGUUAUUCAAUGUGUAGCCUGUUGUUUGGACUGUAGACACAUACCUUAAGAUCCUUUAGAACAUCAACCGAUCGAGUGUUAUAAGUGGUCAAAAUAGGCCAAACGAACACGGAUGACAUUUCUGGAAAUUUCCAGAAAUCAUAAGAACAUGAUGACUGACAAGGUUUGACCGUGUCAUAAUCUAUGGAUCUGUUGUUUCUGGACUGAGAUAUUAUUAUCUCGUUGUUGUUUGUCAUGUGAGCUACGAUUAUAAACCAAGAAACAACCAAAAUAGUUAACAGAACACAUAGAUAAAUGAGAUUGAAAGUGGUAGCUCGAGUUUCUGGGUUUCUGAAGAAACCCAGGUUUAGUCUCUGACAGGGACUUUGAGAGUCCAGAUCAUUUUGAUGUAUUAUUGUUUGAUCAAGUUGUUGGUUGUGUAUUGUAGUGUUACAUAAACACUAUACGAUCACAUUUUAAACUAUCCCAGAACAUGAUCAGAUUUGAUUUUAUUAACGGUCAAAGUUUACCCCUUGAAGUUGUCGGCUGUCAGUGUUCUUGAGCUCAAGAACACCAACAGCGACGCUUUCUGUCGUUAUAGACAUUUAGCGACGGUUAAUUUAAUUUUUGAAUUUCUGAUUUUCCGGAAAAUACUUAAAAAUAGAUAAAAAUUGUUUUUAAUUAUUAAAAAUAUAUAUUAAAUUAUGAAAAAUUAUUUUAAAGCUUGAAAAAUAGUUUUUAAUUAUUUUAAGUAUAUUUCAUAAAUAUUUAAUAUUUUUGUAAUAUAAAUGGUAUUUAAUUUAUUUAAUUAUAAUAUUAAAUAAAUAAUUUAAAAAUAAUUUUUAAUUCAUGAAAAAUAAUAUUAUGGUAUAAUAAAAUAUUUUUAGUUAUUUUUAGUGACUUUUAAUAUUUUGGGAUGAAUUUCAUUAAUUAAUCAAUAUUAAUGAUAAUUAGUUUAUUUAAUAAAUAUAUUAAAUAAAUUAUGGAAAAAUAGAAUAAAUGGUUUAUAAAUUAUAUAAAAAUGAUUUAAGGGUUAGAAAAAUAUUUGAAGUUAUAAAAUAUAACUUUUGAUAUUUUGUCAUGAAAAUAUUAAUAUUUUAACAUUAAUAGUAAUUAUCGGAUAAUGAAUUUAACGGUUUAAAAAUCAUAUAAAUAUGAUUUUAAAGUAUUAAAAAUACUUUGNNNNNNNNNNNNNNNNNNNNNNNNNNNNNNNNNNNNNNNNNNNNNNNNNNNNNNNNNNNNNNNNNNNNNNNNNNNNNNNNNNNNNNNNNNNNNNNNNNNNNNNNNNNNNNNNNNNNNNNNNNNNNNNNNNNNNNNNNNNNNNNNNNNNNNNNNNNNNNNNNNNNNNNNNNNNNNNNNNNNNNNNNNNNNNNNNNNNNNNNNNNNNNNNNNNNNNNNNNNNNNNNNNNNNNNNNNNNNNNNNNNNNNNNNNNNNNNNNNNNNNNNNNNNNNNNNNNNNNNNNNNNNNNNNNNNNNNNNNNNNNNNNNNNNNNNNNNNNNNNNNNNNNNNNNNNNNNNNNNNNNNNNNNNNNNNNNNNNNNNNNNNNNNNNNNNNNNNNNNNNNNNNNNNNNNNNNNNNNNNNNNNNNNNNNNNNNNNNNNNNNNNNNNNNNNNNNNNNNNNNNNNNNNNNNNNNNNNNNNNNNNNNNNNNNNNNNNNNNNNNNNNNNNNNNNNNNNNNNNNNNNNNNNNNNNNNNNNNNNNNNNNNNNNNNNNNNNNNNNNNNNNNNNNNNNNNNNNNNNNNNNNNNNNNNNNNNNUUCAGAUAUAUUUGUUCAUGUAUAAUACUUGUUCAGUCAUAAAUUUGUUCCUGCUAGUUCACAAUUAUAUUGUUGAAUUAUAGCCAGCCAAUUAUUCAAAUCAUUUCAAUCAUGAUAUAUCGUUAUAUUGUUAAAUUUAAACUUGCUGGGCAACUUUCAUGCUCACUCUUGCUAUAUCAUGAUAAACAUUGCAGAUUAAGACGAACGCGUCGGAUACAGGAAAAGAUUAAAGAAAGUUCCAACUUUAGUUUAUGUAUGUGAUUAAGAAUGUAAUAGUGUAGUUUGAUAAUAAAGUUAUGUGUUAGAUAUUUAUGAAAUAUGUAUAAGUUAAGGUUACUCGACCUUGGUGAAUAGUGUGUAAUAUAAUGUAUAAACAAUUUAUGUUUAUAUCUUCCGUAAAUAGUAAUAGUUGUAUAGAAUGAUAAAACCGAAUCCGAGGUGAUUUAGGACCUGGAUUCGGGGCCGUCACAGUAUGUAUCAAAGCUGUAGGUUAUGAAGCUUAGGUAGGAAUACCUGAGACUAAUAAUCGCAGUGAUUAGGAUAAGAUCUAACUCACAUAGAGUUAGUUGGUCGGUAAGAUUCAAAGACGAAUCUCGGCGAGUUAUAAGAUACAGAGUUCCCUAACUUUGAUAAUAAAGUUUAACAGUAAUGAUGAAUAGAUAGAGUCUAAAAGACUAAAAGUGCAGUGAUAGAAGAUCGUAAAAUAAAACGAUCAAGAUAUAGAAAUGAAUCGUGAUAUAUACGAUAAGAUUACCCCGUGAUCUGAUAAAGUGAUAGAAUGGAAAGAAUCAAUCUAAUGAUUGAAAAGUUUACAGCAAAGUUUGCUAUGUGGCAGUUGUACUAUGAAAUUGUACUAUGAAAAACUCAAGAAAGAGUUAUGGAUUAUGAAUACGGAUUAAAUGAAAUUCGUAUUGAAAAGGGUGUUAGUGGUAGGUGGGGAUUCAAUUGAGGACUCGUGUCAGCCGUUGAGUUGUAUGAUUCUUCGUAUGGGAGCUGAAUUGUACAUGGUGUAAAAACCACUUAAUUUCUGGCAAUGAUAAUCAUUGAAAUGUUUGUGUCGCGCUAUUUGCUAUAUGCGUGUUAAGAGGGUGAUUCCUUUCUCAUGUGUAUAACAGAUAGAUAGGUCAUAGGUAGAGGAUAUAAGGUUAAGUACGAGUUCUUAAAACUCAUACUUAUGUGAUAUUCUUGACUCAUAGUUAUAUGAAAUGUUUAUGAACCCCUCAGCGAAUGGACGCCAAAGGUCUGACUAGGGUAAGUUCUUAAACUCAUAUGAUUGUGGCAAGUUUAUGAACUCAUAAGUGUGGUUUGACGAACUGGGUAUAGUUGUGUGUAAAUGGAGUAUUGAGGAUUAUAGGAACAGAUAGAUUGUUAAGCAAAUGAUUAUUAGUGGAGACAUAAGUUUUCCAAAACUCCUAGCUAUGCUAGACUUCGAAAUUUUGACAUCAAGCUAAAUACGCACUAUGUGCUUUUAAAAAAAAAUAUGUAGACUCGUAAUCAUUUUUGAAACGGUUUAAAGUAUAGUCUAUGCUACUUAUUUCAGCUAGACGCAAAUGAUUUGAAAUAUCAAAAUUUAUUUUAUUUAUCACUCAUGUACCAUGUAACCUGGUGCAGAGAUGAUAAAAAUUUGAUGGAGUUGUAAAUACAGGAAUACUUAGUGUGAAUUUGAUCUAAAAUCGUUGUUCCACUAUUGUAUGAUGUGUUAUGACAAAGUCAUACAAUGACGGCAUCCUCAAACGGACUGUUAAUACAGUACGGCAUCAUGGCGUCAUUCUCGAAAAUAUUUUCAAAAAUUUUAAUUUGCCAACAGGGUUUGGCUACACCUGAAUAAUUCGAUUGAAUUGAAUUAUUGAUAUGAGUCUAUGCUAUUCGAUUCAGCUAGACUAAUGUUAUGAAAACACUAAAGUGUUCAUUGAAAGAAAUUUCCCGAACCAAAUUGCUUUGGUACGGAAUCCUAUGACAAGACUGAGGUGAACUAUGUAGAUUGGAUUAAAUAAUUCAAUAGCGAGAAUAUUCGCAAGACAUGAUAAACGUACGUACCAGCAAUAGUAGUUUACCUUCUUCGUGAUUGUAAACAUAUUGUUAACCUAUAUAAGGGGUAGAGUACCUUUUUCUUAAUUGAAAUAGGUAGUAGGUAGUAAUACCUAUAAACCUCAAUAGUUCAUUGUCUAUAUGACCCCUCAGUACAAUUUGAAAACUUUUACUCUUCUGAGAGGUGUAUUGGGUAGCAAAAGAAUGUGUGUGAAUGGUGUAAGGUGUAAGGUGUAAGGUAAAUUUCAGGGACGAAAUUUUUAGAAGAAGGGGUGAAUGUGACAACCCGAGAAUUUGGAAUAUUUUUAAAAUUUUUAUUAAUUGAUUUAAGGUUCAAUAUUAGAACCUAUGCAAAAAAUAAGUGUAUGCGUUUGAUAUUUUUAAGAUUGAAUUUUGAGGAUUUCAAAAUUCUGUGAAGGAUUUAGGUGAAUUAUUCAGGAUUAAGUAAUACGUGAAUAUGUUUUGUGUAUAUGUGUGCAUGAUGUGGUUAAGGGUCAAGGGUUGACCAGGUAAACGAUAUCUGUAACAAACCCUAAGUAUAUAUUAAGAACGUCAACGUUCGGUUAGAAAACCCUAGCGAUUAACAAGAAACCCUAAAAUCGGUUCCGGAAACCCUAAUUUCAGUUCUGGGAAUCCAAAACCCUAAUUCAGUGCAUGAAAACCUAAAUCGGGAAGUUAAUGGCAUAAGUGUAAAUAAUUAUAGUAUAUUAAUUAGGGUAAAGCUUAAUUAAUUAGUAAACCCUAAUUUCACAUUUUGAAAACCCUAAUUUCUGGUUUAGGAACCCUAAUCAGCGAUUUUGACCCUAAUUGCUUAAAUAGCGAUUUUAAUUAGGAAAUACUAAUCCUAAUUAGCAAUAUUUAAAUUAUGAUUAAGAAAUUUUAAUAUAAUUAGAAAAUUCUAAUUAUAAUUUAGAAAUAUUAAUUUUCUAUUUUUGAAAACCUAAAUUAGAAAUUUUAGAAAAUAAAUUGCAAACCCUAAAUUGGCUAAAACUCUAAACCCUAAAUGCUCCAAACCCUAAACCCUAACUAAACCCUAAACCCUAAGGGUUUGGUCAACUGUCCAAAAUGCCAUUAAAAUAAAAUGGAAAAUGACUAGAAUGCUCUUUGUGUAUUAUUUAAUGGUUGGAGUGUAGAUCUUGCCAUGAUCUUGGUUUGGUGAACCACCCUAGACCUAGCAUGUGACUUAUAGCUCACUUAUCAGCCAUCUUGGCCAGCCAUAUACAUUGAAUCUUGAGUUUAAAAGCAAAAAGUCUAGAAAAGUGAAUUACUUUACUCUUCAAAAUAGCCAAGUCCCUUCUCUCUCUAUAUUUUCGGAUCUUUGAGUGAGAAAGUGUGAGAAACAAAGCCAAGGUCAUGUAAUAACACACCAAGAACAGAUCAUGAUGAUCAGAUUCAAAGAUCAAAGCUUAGAAGGUAUAUGAACCCUAAACCUAGAAAUUUCAUGAUUUGAUGUAAUAUGUUGUAAUUUAUUGGCUAGAUAUGUGUUAGAGGGUGUCAUUUGAUGAUCUGGGUUGUCCAAACUCAGAUCCAUAUCAUUUUGAUGCUCGAAAUUUGAGUUUUCAUAAAUCUGGAAAUCUGGAAAAUUAAGGCCUGACAGCCUAAUGUCAGGACCUUUAGAUCCGUGUGUGUUAAGUCUUUUGUGUAGUUUAUGUUAUAGAUAUGUAGUAUGCCAUGUUGUCUUUAAUCUGGAAUUGAAAUCGUAGCUAUUGGAUGUAUAGUUUUCAUUUUUAUUCUUGGUCAAACACGGUUGACCGAGCUUGACCGGCUUGAUUCUGGGUUACCCAGAAUGCCUUGUCUAGUGUCUGACAGCGUUUUGUGGCCUUGAGAUCUGUCAGUAUAAAUGUGAUUUGUUGACGUUAUGUUANNNNNNNNNNNNNNNNNNNNNNNNNNNNNNNNNNNNNNNNNNNNNNNNNNNNNNNNNNNNNNNNNNNNNNNNNNNNNNNNNNNNNNNNNNNNNNNNNNNNUACGAUUAUAAACCAAGAAACAACCAAAAUAGUUAACAGAACACAUAGAUAAAUGAGAUUGAAAGUGGCAGCUCGAGUUUCUGGGUUUCUGAAGAAACCCAGGUUUAGUCUCUGACAGGGACUUUGAGAGUCCAGAUCAUUUUGAUGUAUUAUUGUUUUGAUCAAGUUGUUGGUUGUGUAUUGUAGUGUUACAUAAACACUAUACGAUCACAUUUUAAACUAUCCCAGAACAUGAUCAGAUUUGAAUUUAUUAACGGUCAAAGUUGACCCCUUGAAGUUGCCGGCUGUCAGUGUUCUUGAGCUCAAGAACACGAACAGCGACGCUUUCUGUGGUUAUAGACAUUUAGCGACGGUUAAUUUAAUUUUUGAAUUUCUGAUUUUCCGGAAAAUACUUAAAAAUAGAUAAAAAUUGUUUUUAAUUAUUAAAAAUAUAUAUUAAAUUAUGAAAAAUUAUUUUAAAGAUUAAAAAAUAGUUUUUAAUUAUUUUAAGUAUAUUUCAUAAAUAUUUAAUAUUUUUGGAAUAUAAAUGGUAUUUAAUUUAUUUAAUUAUAAUAUUAAAUAAAUGAUUUAAAAUUGAUUUUUAAUUCAUGAAAAAUCAUGAAAAAUAAUAUUAUGGUAUAAUAAAAUAUUUUUAGUUAUUUUUAGUGACUUUUAAUAUUUUNNNNNNNNNNNNNNNNNNNNNNNNNNNNNNNNNNNNNNNNNNNNNNNNNNNNNNNNNNNNNNNNNNNNNNNNNNNNNNNNNNNNNNNNNNNNNNNNNNNNNNNNNNNNNNNNNNNNNNNNNNNNNNNNNNNNNNNNNNNNNNNNNNNNNNNNNNNNNNNNNNNNNNNNNNNNNNNNNNNNNNNNNNNNNNNNNNNNNNNNNNNNNNNNNNNNNNNNNNNNNNNNNNNNNNNNNNNNNNNNNNNNNNNNNNNNNNNNNNNNNNNNNNNNNNNNNNNNNNNNNNNNNNNNNNNNNNNNNNNNNNNNNNNNNNNNNNNNNNNNNNNNNNNNNNNNNNNNNNNNNNNNNNNNNNNNNNNNNNNNNNNNNNNNNNNNNNNNNNNNNNNNNNNNNNNNNNNNNNNNNNNNNNNNNNNNNNNNNNNNNNNNNNNNNNNNNNNNNNNNNNNNNNNNNNNNNNNNNNNNNNNNNNNNNNNNNNNNNNNNNNNNNNNNNNNNNNNNNNNNNNNNNNNNNNNNNNNNNNNNNNNNNNNNNNNNNNNNNNNNNNNNNNNNNNNNNNGCUUAUGGUUAAUCAUUGCUGAUUGCCAUGUAUAAUUGUACUCUGUAUAUAUUGCAUGUAUAAGUCAGGUAUGAAAGUUUGAUCACCUUCAUUACCAGUUGUUUCAGAUAUAUUUGUUCAUGUAUAAUACUUGUUCAGUCAUAAAUUUAUUCCUGCUAGUUCACAAUUAUAUUGUUGAAUUAUAGCCAGCCAAUUAUUCAAAUCAUUUCAAUCAUGAUAUAUCAUUAUAUUGUUAAAUUUAAACUUGCUGGGAAACUUUCAUGCUCACUCUUGCUAUAUCAUGAUAAACAUUGCAGAUUAAGACGAACGCAUCGGAUACAGGAAAAGAUUAAAGAAAGUUCCAGCUUUAGUUUAUGUAUGUGAUUAAGAAUGUAAUAUUGUAGUUUGAUAAUAAAGUUAUGUGUUAGAUAUUUAUGAGUUAUGUAUAUGUUAAGGUUACUCAACCAUGGGGAAUAGUGUGUAAUGUAAUGUAUAAACAAUUUAUGUUUAUAUCUUCCGCAAAUAGUAAUAGUUGUAUAGAAUGAUCGAACCGGAUCCGAGGUGAUUUAGGACCUGGAUUCGGGGCCUUCACAAGUACAUCAUUCAUCCAACAUACAUCAUUAUAUAUGGAAAUAUAACAACAUACAUUCUCAAUUCCCAGGUUCUAAAAACCUUAUAACCUCUUUCAUUACAAAUAAUGAUAAAUACAUUAUUCCUUUCAUCUUAUAAGAGUGACUUUUAUCCGCCACCAAGGAUACAUAACAGUUCAUUAAACUAGUCUAUAGUUCAGUUUUAUCUUUCUACAUUACAAGUAUUUACUUGAUCUUCUCGCUCAUUCACAUUCUGAAUGGCACUUCAUCUGGAUAUCAUCAACUUGAUCUUUACGGGAUACUUAAGUUCUUCUAACGUCGUUCACUGAAAAUGUUUUUCAUUUAAAGCAAGUGUAAGCAUACAAUUGCCCAACAAGUCAUAACAUUUGAACAAACAACUUCAAGAAUUCAAACAUUCCUUUAGAACUUCGAUUACCGAACAAAGGUUAUGAAGUAGCUUGAAUAAUAGGAAUGAUCUCGAUUCCUAUCAUUUUAAAACAAUAUUCACUUUCACUUUGAAAUGCUUUCAUUCUUCUACCUUUUUCAUACAUAUUCUGUCUGGCUAGAAUCAUUAGCACAAACUUAACAAUGACGGAUCAUGUAUAAACAGAGCAUUCUCUUAUUGAACGAUUUAAUCACAGAACAACUCAUCUCAUAGAAACACCUAAGUGUUCACAUUGUGGCACAAGGCUUCAUACGUUCUACCACCUUGUACAAAUAUCAAUCAUUUGCACAUAGACAAAACUUCUCAAGUUCAACAUUUUAGAAGUUUAAGAAACUAGCAUUCAUUUAGAAUAUGAAUGAAGUUAGAAAACUUGCCUUACGCAUAGCUACAGUUUACGUCGAACUGCUCUUUCCAAUUCCUAUGUAGCAUAUCAGGAAAAACAACACAUACUCCAAUUAGUCAUAUAUAUUUGACUUACGCAUUGGUUUACUUAAUUUUACUUCUUAGGGUUCGCGUUCUUGCAAUAUAAAUUUACGCGACUAACUUUCAUUACCGGUUUACANNNNNNNNNNNNNNNNNNNNNNNNNNNNNNNNNNNNNNNNNNNNNNNNNNNNNNNNNNNNNNNNNNNNNNNNNNNNNNNNNNNNNNNNNNNNNNNNNNNNAGAUUCUUGAUAUAUGGAGAUGUCUUACUCAAUACGUUCAUCAUCUUUGAUGAUUUACAAUCUUAUCUUCUUCUUAUAACUCUUCUAGGACUCAGCACACAUCGCUUCUCUGCAAGUAGUCCAUAUGGUACUCUGAGUGGUUUCCCACAAACAACCACAAACAAGUUCCCGUCUCAUCUACACUGCCAUCAAAUUGAGUUAGAUCAGUUAUCAGUUUCGUAUAUACCUUCGGUCUCUAAAGGAAUUGUUUAGCCCAGCUCCCAUAUGUCAACCAUCAAAGGUUACGAUUUUACCACAACCUAAACUUAUCUUAACGUAUAUGAACUAUUAAACUAUAACGUAUACCUCAGGAUUCAUUCUUUAUCGUUUAAGUCAUAUAGUCUUUUGUAUACUCAGAGCAAUCAUUCAAGUUAAUCAUUAACUCGGCUUCCAUUAAUCUUAUUAUCGUUCGCUAUGAAUUUCUUGAUACCAUUCGUAUUACUUAAUACUUUCGUUAUCCAUUACAUGAACCCCAUGUUCAUUACUCGUUCUUAGUGUCGAAGCCAUACUGAUCGUUGUAUGCUAAGACCGAUUGUUCAUCGCAACAACGUUGUAUUCACCGCGUCUAUACGCUUUACACUUAUAUCUCAUUACCAAAAUAUAACAUCGAAAUGUUAUUCAUUACCUUCGUCACUCAAUGUCUAAGGAAUCACAAUCAUAGCAAUCCCUCACGUUCGUUUAUUGCGACUACGGUCCCCGGAUAUCGGUUCCGUAACCCGCGUCUACAUUCUUUGUCUUUUAAUCUCGCUUAAUCUUUCCGUUCAAUAUUUACUAAAGGUUUAACUCGCUUGAUUAAGUGUUACAUUAGUUUAAUAUUAUGUUCUUUAUCUUCCCUUACAUUUCCCCCAAGAGCUGAGCAGUUAAAGGCUCUUCUCUGACUUUUUCUCCACCCUGGCAUUGCGGCUCCACUCUCCCUUCUAUCUUACGCGCCUCGGCGCGAGUCUCCAGUCCCUGGCUCCCAGUUUGGCGCUGCAGCGUCACUCUACAAGGCAUGGCUGGCGCCGCUGAAAUAACUCGGGUCAAAUCUCGAGUCCAGAAUAAAUCUCGGGUCAAAUCCCAAGUCCGAAUCGAAUCAAAUCCAUCAAAAUAAGGCCUCAAACUACUAGCCCAAUAGUAUCUUCUUGGGUCAUCUUAGCCCACCACAGGCUCCCAAAAGGUCAUGACUUGAAGGUACUAUUGGUAGUAACUUAUUUUCUUAUAUGCAGACCAAUUUUUCCCCUAUCUUUCAAUGUGGGACUGGGGUGUUACAAACUCCCCCACUUAAAUUUCUGACGUCCCCAUUAGAAUCCGAUCACACACACACAACCCAAAGAUCUUUGCCUCUCUAGCCAUUGUGGGAUAAUACCGGCUGGCUUCGUGUCCCCACCUCCGGACCUCCAUCUCUCCAUUGUGGGAUAAUAACACCAGCCUUCGUGUCCUCACCUCCGGCAACCUGAUCGGAUGACCCGACCCGACCCGAGCUUUCGAGAGUUGGCUUUGAUACCAUAUGAAACAACCCGGGUUAAAUCUUGAGUCCGGAAUAAAUCUUGGGUCAAAUCCCAAGUCCGAAUCGAAUCAAAUCCAUAAAAAUAAGGCCUCAAACUACUAGCCCAAUAGUAUCUUCUUAGGUCAUCUUAUCCCACCACAGGCUCCCAAAAGGGCAUGACUUGAAGGUACUAUUGGUAGUAACUUAUUUUUUUAUAUGCAGACAAAUUUUUCCCCUAUCUUUUGAUGUGGAACUGGGGUGUUACAGCCGCGGCGCCAAGCCCUAACCCUAGAAAUUUUUUCUAAGUGUUAACUUAUUCUGAGACGAUUUCUUCCUGCUUCCAUAACUUAUUCGUUAUAACUCGGAAUGAAGUCAUUCCAAAGCCAUUUUCUUCCUUAUCUUACGUACUUCAAUACCCCUCAGACAGAACUUUGUUCUGAAUCAUUUAACAUGCCAUUCGAUUGGCUUAAUCUUCACCCUUUGUUCAUCUUACGUUUUUAACGCUCUUCGUUCGUUCGUCUGUAAUUUGGUCAACCGAACUAGGAACUCAUUCGUUCUUGAGUCCAUGACUCAUGUUUUCUAAGUUCUUUUACUUUUUUAUGAAACCCUACACGUUCGGGUUCAUUUAAUAACUUUCUAAUUCUCGUUCGCCCUUUACAAAAAUUUUGUCAUAACUUCGUUAUAGCUCAGUUUUAAUUCGUUCUUCAUGAACGUUUCUACCGUUCCUAACCAAGCAAUACACAUCUAACUUAUACGCGAUGGUUUUAAAUUUGUCCAUCACCAACAAUUAUUCUAUGAUGGUUUUAAAUUUGUCCAUCAACAACGUUCUUCGCGUUCUUCACGUGUUCUUCGUGUUCUUCGUUCGUUCUUCAUUUUUAAUCGAUAUUUAGAUUACGAUUUCACUUUUUCUUGGAAUUUGAUGUUAUAAAAUACCAUUUCUUACUUAUUUCACCUACUCAUUCAUUUAAUCCACUCGGAUCGUUCAAAUUCAUUACGAAUCUUAUACUUCCUUAAGAAAUUUUUAACAUAAACUUCAAAUUCUUAUUUUCUUUAUUUUCUCAUGAUUUCAACCAUAUGAAAUAAUUCCUAACAUCUUUUACCCCUUAUUCUUAUUUAAGCUAUGUUUUUUAACCUAAAAACUUAAGAAAAAAUAUACGAGAUAAGGUUCCAGAUUACCUUUCUCAUUUAAUCUCUUUCCGUCGGACAAAGGUUACUCACGAGCAAGUUUUUCCUCUUCCUCUUCUUUCCCCCAUCCGAACUCUCUCUAAAAGUGUAGGAUUUUCAAAAUCCCAAAAUAAUGAAAUAAGCUUCCUAUUUAUAGAAAACCAAGGUUAUGGGCGUUUUAGUCAUUUCGCCCCAACCUCCUUACUAUUCACACCUCCUUACUAUUCCCGUAGCUUCCCUUGGAAGCUUCGUGGUUCCGUCUUUCCGGUUUCGUCCGACGGUUUUAAAAACUGCGAUUCUCGGAAUCCAAAUAUUUUUGGAUAUUUUGUAACUUUUACGUAUUCUUCGGAUUUCCAAAAAACUGAAAAAACACUUUUUAACGUUAAGCAUUUUCCUUCACGUUUUCCCCUAACGUAGUUAAAUGAGUGAAAAGUACAUAGUAGUACUUUUCGUCAUUUUUAUUUCGUCCGAUUUUUGUACAUUUUUCGAGAAAAACUUUUAUCGGCUUACUUAACUUUUCACGAUAUAUUAUCGUCAAAUCUUUCGACAAAAUGUCAUUUUGACAUACCAAACUCUCGGAAAGGCUUAGGUUAUUCAAACCCUAACCCUUAGGGUUUCGUCGGGUGAAUUGUGUAUAUUUCGUCUUUUUCCCCAGAAAUAUUUUUGUUCCCAGAAAUAUUUUAUUUUCUUCUUGAAAAUUCUUAAUCGUUCAGUCUAGCUCGUAGCCAGAAUCCUCCCGACUUAUAAUCAUCCUAGGUUAUAGAACGAUUAAUAAACACGUAGCACAUAAUAGUAUUAAUAAAAAAAAAUUCAUUUUAUUAAUAACUAAUUCUUUAAACUUAAAUUCUGGACAAUCCGAAUUUCCGGGUUGUUACAUAAUGCAUAAUAAAUUAUCGUAAGCCUUCAAUAAUGUUAAACUGAUAAAAAUACAAUAAACAUCAAGUUUAACUACAACGGAACAAGCAAUCCAUUAGAAGAGUCAAGUAGAGCAUGAUAUAUACUAUCUUCUAUGAUUUAAAAAGUUUUUCAUCAACUUUAUUGUUGAGACUCAACUUAAUAAAUAAACCACAUCAUCGAAUCAUCCCCGCACUACGGGCCAAAGAUAUUCAUGUAAUCAUCAAUGUUCAUGAUCAUACCAACAACUGUCCAUCAAUGCACUACGGGUCAAUGAGGACUUUUACCACAUCAUUUGUAACAUUACGGUCAUGAUUAUACCGAAUAAUCCCUGGUCAUAAUCAUACCAAUCAAUAGUACAUCUAUGCACGUAAGCCACAUAUGACUUUUAUCACAAUAUAAUCAUGAGGAUGAUCACAAUGAUAUAAGAAUUCAAUUAAAAGAAAGCAAAGGGUAAAUUUUUAAAGAUUUAUAAUUUAAUUUAUCCAGAAUUCAAUAAUGUCUAAAUUGUCAACAUGAUACUGCUUUGUGGAGUAAAAUUCAAGAAUAAUAUUGUAUCAAAAAUGAUUUGGACAUCCAACAUCCUGACAACAUAAUUUUAAGGUUUAGUUACUAAUCGGUACUAGCGAACACGUAAUUUAUCACAUAAACACAUAAAGUCUUUUAUUAUCUUCAAUGAAUUAAGGAAUUCAUUUCUUAGAACUCGAUAAGAGUUUUCCUUCACUAUGUUAUUCCUAUAAGGCUACUACCUAAGGUUGUUCCCCCACCUAAGGUUCAUAACCUACAGCUCUGAUACCAACCUGUGACACCUCCAAAUUCGGGUACUUCAAUUCCCACAUGAUUUGGUGUUCACUAUUCAAACAUCAUAUAUCUAUCUACCCAUAAUAAAUGAAAGCAUAAAUAGAUAGAAAUAAAUCCUCUCCUUAAGGAGUUACAUCAUCUGAAAUAAUUACAUAAAUCCCAGGUCAUGCUAACCUUAAUUCUUAACUGCGGAAACAUAAAUAAUUUAUAAUCUUACACAACAUCAAUAUAAGUCUAAAACAUAAAUUCAAUAUCACAUAAAAUAACAAGUCUUCAUCUCUUGUUAAUCUUGCCCUUGCCUUUGCUAGUAGAAGGCUCGUCGGACCUUUCGUUCUGAACUGCAAUGUUAUUAUUACGCAAGAGUGAGCACGAUUGCCCACAAGUAUAAAAAUGAAAUAAUAAUAUAAUAGCAUGCGAGUGAAUCAAAGACUUCUGGAAUAAAAGCUCAACUUUUGAAUCAAGAAUAAAUAACAAGAAUCAAAAGAUUUCUGAGGGUCAUAAGACCUUGAACUAUGUCCUAGGUUAUCAAGGGUUAUACUUGAAACCUUUAACAGUCAUAAGACUGUGGACUUUUCUACUCGUACUUAGGGGGAUCAACCCUUAGUACCAUACUGUGCACAAUAUCUUAAUGCUAACGCAUAAGUAAUCCCUAUACAGAGUUGUUCAUCUCAGUUUGACAUUAGAGUCCGCACCAAAGGAAGUUUGGUUUGGAUAAAUCAAUAAGGGUUCUGAAAUUUAGAACGUUCAUCAACUAUAGACUAGUUGAAUCAAUAAGGGUUCACUAGUCCAACAGGGUUCAAUAGUAAAUGAUAUUUAAAUCGAAUAACAUUUUUAGUAGGUAUACAAUAUAACAAGUAUUGUAUAACGAAAAUCAUGCUUUGAAAAGAUAAAUAAUCUUUAAUAUAACAAAUUGAACUUGAUUAAUAAUAAUGAGAAUUUACUCGGCGUAAAUUAUAAACUUUAAUAGUGAUAACAAGUAGGGUUAGGAAACUUGCCUCGUGCGUAGAUUACACAUUAAUUAUACUUGUUCCUCGAUUUAAUCCUACAUACCAUUCAUGUUUACAAUACCAGUCAAUUAUAACGUAACUAGUCAUUACAAGUUCAUUCUUUUCGUCUAACUCGGAUUAUGACUAUACUUAGUCAAAAUACCACAUUUAUUGUCACAUAAUUUUACACUUCACGAACAAUAAGUUAACUAUAUGUUUAAUCAUUCAAUCCACAUGUAACUGUGUUAUUGACAUGUUAAUAACUUAUUUUAACGUCUCGUUAUACUUCUAACAUAUUUUUAUGUUCAUUAGAUUAGGUUACUAUCACAUUCUUAGACUUGAACAAUUUAAAAUUUUCAUUUGUGGACAUUCUGCAGAGUGGCGUUGCGGCGCCACUUAUAGGCUUGUACUCGGCGCUGCGACGCGGUGGCGUUGCAACUUGGCUUUUGGCGCUAUGUGAAAGUAAUAUGCACACAAGCCAAUCAUGUUUGAUGAUAAAGCAUAUACUUUGUAACAAUCUUAUUCAUUUAUUAAUAAAAAGUAUUAAUUUAUUAAAGGCUUUUAAUUAUCUAUAUGAUGAUGUUUAUAAUAUGUGAUAAACUCAUAGUUUUAAGCAAUGCUUUUAGAAUAAUGAUGAUGAUCAUUCUAAUGAGAUCUAAAUUCUUAGAAAGCUUAAAACUAAAAUAGUUCCCAAUUGUUGAAUUACUAAAUUGGGGAUUAGUGAAUCCGGAUAGAUUGGUACAUACGUUGCUUGCUCAUUAGAUGAGGAUGAUUGAUCUCAUGAUCAUUUGUGUGGAGACACUAAAGCAAGUAUGUAGGUGCUUAUUAGAGAAUAAGUUCACUGAACGUGGCUCACUAAGGAAUACCUAAUGGAGUUUUACUUGCCUGUCAAUAGGAACUCCUGUAGUGAUAGUAGUACAAGUGAUCCUUGAACUUGAGAUCAUCAUAGUAUCUUGUGUAUGAUGAGUUAUACUUUGACUUAUUCCUUAAGACCCUUAGGGUAUAUCAAAAGGUAUGCUUAGGUAUAAUAAUUUAUACAUGGAGAUAAUGUAUGAUCAAUAAAGAAUCUACCGCUUCUAGUAAAAGAAGAGAAAUGUCCUAUGUGAUUCGAUAAAUGACAACCCAGUAGUCCUUGGCCAAGGCAGAAUGAAAUUAGAAAGGAGUUUCUAAUUUGCAUUAUUUGGAGUUGUGCAUUUAAGAGUCGAAAUACAUAUAAUUAAAUAAAAUAAGACUUGACAGUAAUUCCAUGUCUUAUAUUUAAUUGGGACAUUGUAUGGUGGAAGGAUUGAAUUGUACGGUAACUAUUUACUCAAAGGUUCUUUUAUGAUUAAUGUUGAAAUCUAUAUUAUCUGGAAAGUCGUUGAUCGCUAGGGAGGCUUAUCCCUAUUGUAGAAUAAAUAUUAUUUAUUUAAAUAAAUUAAUAGUUUAAUUUAUUUAUUUAAAUAAGAUUAGAAUUGUUCUAAUUGAUUUAUUCACAACCGGUUUAAUAUGGAGAACCUAAAGGGUCACACCAUAAAAGGAAGAAUAAUUAUUUAAGAAGUUAAUGGCAUAAUCGUAAUAAUAUGUUAAGUAUAUUUAAUUUAAUCUAUGGUGAUAGAAUAAAUUAAAUAGCUUAAUAUUUAUUAUUUAAUAUUUUAGAAAUAUUAAAUAUAAAUUAAUAAGAGGAGUCUUAUUAAUAUUAUUACAAUUAUUAUUAUUUUAAUUUCUAAAAGAGUUUAGGAAUUAAUUUAAUAUAAGUACUCUCAUUUAUUCCUAAUAGGAUUAGGAGGGAAAAUUAGUUAAAGGAGUUUAAUUAAUUAUCCCUAAUAAGAUUAGGAAGCCCAUUUAAUUAAAAGAGUUUAAUUAAAUAAAUAAUACCUUAUUUUAAUUAAAUAGGAUUACCUGAUAUCUUUAUAACAAGAGUCUUAUAUCAUAUAUCAGAUACGCAAUUCCAAUAGUUGGAGAGUACGUUCUAUUUCUAUAGAGAUAAAAAACUAGGGUUUAGCCAAACACCCUUAUUCUUGAAUCUUUCUUCUUCCUUGGUGGAUCACCUCUAGAGGCCAAACACUUGGGUGGCUAACGUUGAUCAAAGGAAGGAACCAAACCCGGUAGAUUCAAGUUGAACGCGAAAAGAUUGGAGGUGAACUUGUACCUGAGGAAGCUCGAAUCUUCAAGGGUAUGAUUCUUGUUCUUUCUUUUUUCGUUUAAUUAAUAAUUGUGCAUAAAGGAUGAUUCGAGUAUAUGGUUUGUAAAUUUUUUAAAACUCUAAUUUUCAUGUUUCCACUUAUUUUAUGCAAAUUGAUUGUGUUCAUGUAUAUUACAAACCUAACACUGCGGCGCGGGAAAUUGAAGAACAUGGCCAAAACCUCCAAUUAAAUUAUUUCUACACGAAUUUAGACAUACCCAAACAUUGUCAUACACAUAUAACUAUUACUUAACCCUUCUAGCAUGAUUUUAAUAUGUUAUAACACAUAAUUUGCAGAAUCAAAACAUAUAAUUUACUGUUCUUGAUAUUCUUGAAAGUUUUGAAUAGAAAACAUGAAAAUCAACAUUACAGUUUCAUUAUAAUACUGAAUCUGUUCAUUUGAAGUUUGAUCUCUUAGUUUUAAUAUACAUAAUCAUGUACCAGUAUAAAUUUAUGAUAUAACAUAUGAUUGACGUAUCAAAUUUGGUACGUAAGGCCAUAUGGCCAUAUUUUUAUUCUCUGUAUUUUGAAGAAACAAUGUACGACAUAAUUUUUAUGAAAUUGAUGAUAUGGAAAUAUAAAAUAUACAAUAAAACAUGUUAUAAUAACAUCUUACCACAUAUAUAACAUAUAAUCACUACCCUUUUCCAAUUACAGAGGUUUUACAAAACUUUGAAAACCAUUUUCUUAUAAAACUUAAACAACGUAAAUAAAACCCGGGUUAAAGAAAUUACCCAAAGCGUAGAAUGUAGAUUAGUAGGCUCAGAUGUUUCUUCAAUUACUCACUCUCAAUUUCCUUCUCAAAUUCUCAAAUUCUCUCUGACCAAUUCUCAAACUCUCUCUGACUAUUUUUCUAGACUUGGCAAACAAAUGAAAAAUAAGACGUAAUAAUUUUAUUAAAAGAAAACUGAGCGCAGUUGUGGUGGUCAGUCAACCCAUCAUGGGUUAACUGGUACUAACUUCUCUUAGGGCCUCGUUUGGUUGGUAAUAAUAGACUCCAAACCAUUUAAUUUAAUGAUUCUCUUAUACUAUAGUUUAAAUCAUGUCACACCCAAUUACACAAUAAAUCAAAUAUCUUGUUUAAUUUAAUUUGAAUAAAAUAUAAUAAUUUCUCAUUGGUUCACAUAAUCACAUAAUUAAUUUUCUCAUUGAUUAAUUAUGUCAAAUUAUUAAAUCUCAAAUGAAUUAUUAAAAUAACAUUAUGCUUAUUAAAUAUUUCAUUUAAUUCAAUAAGCUCACAUAAUUACAUAAUUUGAAUAAUAAAAAUACUCCACAUUAAUUUAAUAAAUAUAACACAUAUAAUUAAAUUAAUCAACCAUAACUUUAUCAAUUAAUUAUUUAAUCUAAUAAUUAAAUCAUCGAGAAUAUUUAUUUACAUCAAUAAAUAUUAAAAUUAAAUUACAAAAUCUCGUUUGUCACAGUUGCUAUCGGAUGCGGAUGUGAUGUGGGUCCCUUACACCGCCGAGUAUAUGGCAGAGGGAUUUGAGGGAGGUUUCUCGAUAGGGCCCUAAUAUGCUUUAUCCACACGUCAGGUUCCUUUACCGUUUCAUGGAGGCUGCGAGCUCUAUCUUGGGGAGCGUGCCUUUAGUGUAUCAUGGGAGAUUUGUAUUCCCUUUCUUCCCCUUGCUCAGCAAUUUUGGCCUCUAGCUCAGCCGAUCUCAGAGAUCCAUUUGGUAGGUCAUGAUGGGUUCCUUUUGUCGGACGACCCCAACACUUCAGCUAUUUUUUUUUCUCUUUGGUGGGUGCCCCGUACCAUCUCAGACCCAUGUUGCCCAAUUCUUGGGAGAUAUGGUUUUGGGGUUUUUGAUGAUGAACAACUGGAUGGCUUAUAUCCGAGAGCCGACUCAUCAUUUAGAUUACGGACUUGAACAACGGGUUGAUCGAAUUUCCCUCUUUAUUCGUCAUUUGGGUAGGGAUCCAUCCGAGGCCGAUACUUUUGAUCCUUCUGGGUUCGAGGUUGGUCUGUCCGGUAGUGGUGGUUUUACUGAUAGAGGAGAUCCUUUAUUCUACCGCCCAAAUAUGCAGGAUAUGAUGACUCAGAAGGACCUGACCCCGGUCGACCGGUUUGAUGAUGUCAGUACUUUCAUGGAUGACGUAGAGUUCAUUUGAUAGGCUUAUGUUAGUUUUUUAGCAUCUGUGCCCCAUUUUCUUGUACUUUUGAUUUUUUAUUUUCUCCUGUUUCAUUAAGAUGAUGUUGAUGUAUAUAUAAAACCAGAUGUAUUCCCUACACACACACACACACACACACACAUA